RNAcentral lists this long non-coding RNA (73690 nucleotides) under Triticum aestivum (bread wheat). Its description in RNAcentral is "long non-coding RNA (TAES_LNC011399)". Lineage: Eukaryota; Viridiplantae; Streptophyta; Magnoliopsida; Poales; Poaceae. The record is from RNAcentral.
CUCUAUUCUGGCAUUCUGCAGUUCAGUCCACAGAUACAAACCUUCCAUUUUGAUACCAAUGCAUACUUAGUAUAGAUCUGAUAUCGAUGUUUGCGAGUAUUUUGGAUGAGUACUCACCGUUGCUUUGCUACCCCUUUUCCCCCAACUUUCUUCUUUCCGGUUGAUGCAACCAGAUGGUGGAUCCUUGGAGCCAGAUGCCCCGCCGAUGGAUGCUACUACGUGGAGACCGCCGACGACCAGGAGUAGUUAGGAGGUCCCAGACAGGAGGCCUUGCCUCUUCGAUCGUGUUGCUUUUGUGUUGGCCUUCUUAAGGCAUCCUUGUUUAACUUAUGUCUGUACUCAGAUAUUGUUGCUUCCGCUGACUCUUGUGUAUCGAGCUAUGUAUUCGUGCCCUCGAGGGCCUUGGCUUGUAAUAUAAAGCUUGUAUUAUUUUGAUUUGUAUCUAGAGUUGUGUUGUGAUAUCUUCCCGUGAGUCCCUGAUCUUGAUCGUACACAUUUGCGUGUAUGAUUAGUGUAUGAUUGAAUUGGGGGCGUCACACACGUGACAACCACUUCACUAGCCAAUAAUCAUGUGUUGUGAAACACAUCUCGUGACAACUGUGACUGACCCAAAUUAUUUUUGCAUGAAUAAAAUAAUAUUAUUGCCUUUUCGAUAUGUCAAUAAACUUUACAACAGCUACUAGAAAGUGUUAAGAAAAUGCCAAAAGUGUGUGCGAUACAAGUAACGUCAUAAUAAAUUACCUACAAACUAUUGGCAAUAUAGUCCCUCAAUUCCAAACGCCCCUGCUCUCCAUGGCAUCUCCCCUUCCCACCCAUGGCCAUGGUCCAAUCCCCGGAGAUACCCAAGCCUUUGAUAUUGGUGACUUCUACACCUCCCCGCCUCUCGACGACGAGGGCACUAAGGAAUUUAUGGUAAGUUGUAACCCUGCCUUACCCCCUCUAUCUGAUUAUUCUUAAUCGGGACUUCAGUUGGUUGGGGAAAUCGAUUCUUUACCUAAUGGAUCAACCCUUUUGGUAGAUCUGCAUUUUCUAUUUAAGAACAUGCAAAUAUGUAAAUGUUUCUGCAUGUUCUUGGGGGUAGGGGUACUAUUUGAUCUUCUUCCAGAUUGCAAUUUUGCCUAGCCAGUUUUUUAGUUCUUUCUAGAUUGGUUAUUUAUCAGUUGCCUGAGAAUCACAAUUGGGCUAGUCUAUUUCAUGUUGGAUGGGUGGGGGAUUUGCCCCAUCGAGGCUGAUCUAGGACCUCCAUAGAGAUGAUGACGAGGGUUGAUUGGUGUGGGUGGGGAGGGGAGGCCUUUUGCUUCCACUUGGAUUAGGUAAGUGUGGAUCUCGGGAAGGGAGGGGUCGGAUAGGACCUUGCUGGUUGCGUGACAUGGGAGAUAAACCGGGGCGGCGGGAGGAUUCGUGCACUCUGUUCGCCUGAUCCAUAAAACAACUGAAUGUAGAGGAAACAAUCUAGUUGUUCAUUUCGAAUCCGAUGCCUCAAAUCCAAUGGGCUCAAAUGAUUUUUUAACUGAACCAUAGGGAGGCCCGUUUUAUAUAUAUGAAGAAGGUUGUUUUGAACUUAUUUCUCUAAUUGAUCAAAUCUUUGUAAUGUAGCUUAUCCCCUGGAUGCAAAUUUUGGCCUUGAGAGUACCCUCUGACCCUCCUUAGUUCAACCAAAUGAACUAAGUUUUCGUAUUCACAUUACUUUUGAUUUUUUUACUUCAUUUGAUUGGACUGAAGGUAUUAAAUUUGCGUGAUUAGUUUCUUACAUGAUCUAAAAACUACAAAUGUUUGAAAACACUUGCCUUUGAUGUUGACCUCUACAUGUUUUUUAUUCUUUAAAAUCACCUUAAUAUUUUCUUUAAAAUUAUUUUUGGCACUUCUUUCUUCAGCUUUACCUAACCAUUGUUUUUUCUAACUGAGCCAGUUUUCAUACUAGAGUUCUAAGGUGUUGUGAAAAAUACAAAUCUUCGGUAAUAUGUACAUACUUAAUUCUGAUUCCAACCUGCCAUUGCUUGACCAUGUACAUGAAAAAAUGUGACUUUAUCAACACAUUUUAUUUCACAGAACACUCACUGGCUUUCUCAUCUAAAAGAAAGAGGAUAUACUACAGUGAGUAGCUCAUUCAAGUUAGGCAAUUGCACAAGAAAAUUAUAAGACCAUUAUUCCUUACUAGUUCUACAUACUCAUGAUGUUGUUGGUGCUGUCAGGGGACAUGAUCAUAUUUUCUCUCUUAGGCAUGCACCUUCUUUUCAAAAACAUGUUAUCUUAAUUAGUUCUAGUUACAACAAAUAGAUGGUACUGACUUUACUGCAUGGUUUUGCUGCUGUCACCAAGUUCAAGAAGCAUAAUAUAUAUUUGAUUAAUAUGAAGUGUGAGGCUAGAUAAUAUUGUCUACUAGUUAUUUUUGUUCUAAUGUGUUGUUUUACUAGUUUCCUGCUCAAAUCUAAUGCUCUGUGGUCGUCUUUGGUAUAAUAGUACUUCUGGGAGCAUGUUCAUUGCAAUUUUAUAUACUCUGCUAAACUAUUAAUCACAUGUCUUGUCUUAUCUUAUAGACUUGCAUGAUGGAGGUUGCACAGUUUGGACCUUGGUCAGAUCUUCCACCAGAACUCUUGGGCCUUGUCCUUAAGCGCCUCCCUUCUUUAGCCGACCGUGUUCGCCUGAGAGCAGUUUGUCACCCAUGGCGCUCCAAUAGUAUAUUGCACACCCUUCCCCUCCCAUUCCCCUGGCUCACCCUCCCUGAUGGAACCUUCCUCAGCAUCUCAGGAAACGAGGUUCACCGCUUGCCUCUACCACAUGGUGCUCGAUGGCAUGGCUCAAUUGACAAGAGAUUAUUACUCAUGAGCAGUGAUGGAGUAUGUUCAUUGUUGGACCCUUUCUCAAAGAUGACACUGGGUCUUCCUAACCUUGUCACCAUUUGGCAGAGCGAAAUAGAUGAUCGUACUGAACAGACUCAUGUACCAGUUUCCUAUAAGUUGGUGGAGCCCUCAGACAUGGACUCAUCAGAGAAGUUCGUUGUUGCUGCACUGAUCCCUGACAAAGGUUAUUCCCCCAAUCUUUGUAUCAUCCAACCGCCUGAUACAUCUUACACAUUCAAGGGUGUACGUAAUUGGGACCGACAUAUAUUACUGGACUUUGGAUUCUUCCAUGGAAGGUUAUAUGUGGUGUCUGAGUUUUACAAGCUUUUCACCAUUGAUUUUGGCGAGAACCUUUGUGGUGGUCCAAACAUCAAAUGCGUAAUUGACACUAUUGGCGAUUAUCUUCGAUCACCUGCAUACUUUUGUCAGAAGGGUGUGCGUGGAUUAUUGCUGUAUUUAGUUGAAUGUGGUAAUAAACUACUGAUGGUUCAACGGUUUACACACUGCUCACAGUCCUCACAGGGUUUCAGUAAUGACUACACUGGUGGAUUUACGGUCCUUGAGGCGGACUUGCAAACCAACCCUGCUCAGUGGAGAAUGGUAAGUGAUCUUGGUGGUCAUGCACUCUUUCUUGGCAGGCAAAGCUCCAAGGCUGUGCCUGCAGGAGAAUGCAGUGGAUCCCAAGAGGAUUGCAUCUACUUCAUCUGCGACUAUCCUUGUCCAAAGUCUUCUACAAAUCCCCUUCAUGAUGCUGGUAUAUACAACAUGAGAAACGGGAUGAUCAUGCCAUUGCAUUCAGGGAGUGCUGCAGUACCGCAACGCCAAGCUGGCCAGUGGGGUCUCACAUGGUUUUUUCCUCCUAAAGUUGUAUGAUCAAGCCCAACAUUGUUUGUUGAUCUUUGUGAUCAACCAACCUGCCUGGGUUCUUCUCCUAUACCUUGCUUAGUACUUAUGAUGGUGUGCACUUUGAACUUUCAAGUCUUGUGAUUGUCUUAAUGGGAUUGUGUCAUCUAAUGUUUAAGUCUUUCGUUGUAGAAACUUUGAAGUUUCCUCUUUGUGGCAUGUAUGUGUUUUAAGUCUUCCGUGGUGGAAACUUGAUGUUUUAUGACCAACCAGGGAUGGUUUUUUAAGCUUUCUAAUCAACCAACAUGUAUGGAUCCCGCCUAUGUUUUAUCCUACUGAUAUGNNNNNNNNNNNNNNNNNNNNNNNNNNNNNNNNNNNNNNNNNNNNNNNNNNNNNNNNNNNNNNNNNNNNNNNNNNNNNNNNNNNNNNNNNNNNNNNNNNNNNNNNNNNNNNNNNNNNNNNNNNNNNNNNNNNNNNNNNNNNNNNNNNNNNNNNNNNNNNNNNNNNNNNNNNNNNNNNNNNNNNNNNNNNNNNNNNNNNNNNNNNNNNNNNNNNNNNNNNNNNNNNNNNNNNNNNNNNNNNNNNNNNNNNNNNNNNNNNNNNNNNNNNNNNNNNNNNNNNNNNNNNNNNNNNNNNNNNNNNNNNNNNNNNNNNNNNNNNNNNNNNNNNNNNNNNNNNNNNNNNNNNNNNNNNNNNNNNNNNNNNNNNNAUUAAUUGAAUGCGCGUGUGUUACUAUGAGAAAAUUUAGUAAAGAGACAACUAAAUAAAAUGACUAAAAUCAUAUUAUAUGGUGCAUAUUUAUUGGAGGGAGUAAAGUGCACAAACCCUGAUUGACAAAGACUUGCUCCUUUCCGUAUAAGUUCCACCCAUAUUUAUUACGGCUUUGCCCAAGUUCAUAUUAUGAUCCGUGGAAAGCAACGCCCAUGUUUUCCUAUUCACGGCUUGUGAAGCUCGUCGAUUCGUGCAAAGCAACAUGCAUGCUUUCGUUUAGGGUUCUAGUUUCCGCUACUAAUGUGCGUCUUAGGGUAUCUUUAAUACGGACCCUCAAACCAUCCACAUCCAUCCGGACUACGUUGUUCGGGCGUGUUUUGUCAUCUUACGUGGGCGUGUAUCUGCCCGCUGGCCAGUAUAUAUGGACGUCUUUUUUCACGCAAACUGGAAGCAUAUCAGGGGCUUUGCGGGUGUCUGGACCACUACCGCACGCUUCCAACAACCCUGGUCCAUCCCAAACCCUUUUCCUCACUCGUGCCCUUUCUCGUCUGAAGCGGUUAGCGCCGCUCCAGAGCGACAACACCACAUUCAUGCCGGCGCACAACAGACUCAACCUCUCACUGGAACUGGCAUUGAAGCGGCGCUUCGGCCAAGAGUGUUGCCCGCUGCACUCACCUUCGCUCCGCAUUAAACGACAUCCGUCCGCCCGCCUACCUCUGUUAAACCAGUGCGUCUGCCGAGAAAUCAGGGCGCCACAUGUUCGUCCGCAUGUCGGACGACAUUAAACACCUCGCCUCAUGGCGCCUGGCAUAAGCCCGCUAUUUGAACAUGGCGAGGCACCGGGUAACAGACGCACCAUACCUUCGCUCUCCAUAUCCUCUUUGUAGCACACGACAUGGCCUCGUGCUCCAAAGUCCUAUGGGUUGGCCUCUCAAGGAGCUCUCCGGCAUUGCAGCCGCCUAGGUGGCCUGCCGAGCCAGCCUGGCUUGUCCGGAAGCUCUUCGGAGCAAACAACACUACCCUUGCCGGUCCAGGAUGGCAUCACCAUGGACUGUGCUCUCCAGGACAAGCUGUCCUACGUCGCCGCCUGCCAAAUCCACUUCAAGCGAUGGCGGCACCGUAUCGACAGGCAGAGAAAAAAAGCCAUGUUCGUGGAGAUUGAUGUGGCGGCAGAGGAAUUUGACCAGGGCACCAACGACGACGACGCCAAAUCAGCGGCGGCCAAGCCCUGCUGCCACAACUACAAAGCUGACACGUCCGCGACUGCAGCCGACAACGAGGAGGUAUACCUCUUGGAAAUAUGCCCUAGAGGCAAUAAUAAAAUGAUUAUUAUCAUAUUUCCUUGUUCAUGAAAAAUGUUUAUUAUCCAUGCUGGAAUUGUAUUGACCAGAAACUUAAAUAUAGAUGUGAUACAUAAACAACACCGUGUCCCUAGUGAGCCUCUACUAGACCAGCUUGUUGAUCAAAGAUGAUUAAGGUUUCCUAACCUUAUACAUGUGUUUUAAUUUGAUAAAGGGAUCACAUCAUUAGGAGAAUGAUGUGAUGGACAGACCCAACCAUAAGCUUAGCAUUAGAUCGCAUCACCUAGUUUAUUUGCUACAACUUCUUCAUGUCAAGUAUCUGUUUCUUAGACCAUGAGAUCAUGUCACUCCCGAAUACCGAAAGAAUACUUUGUGGGUUAUCAAAUGCCACUUCGUAACUGGAUGAUCAUAAAGAUGCUCUAUAGGUAUCUCGAGAAGUGUUUGUUGGGUUGCAUGGAUCGAGACUGGAAUUUGUCGCUCCGUAUGACGGAGAGAUAUCUCUAGGCCCUCUCGGUAAUACAACAUCGUGAAUAGCUUGCAAGCAUGCGACUAAUGAGUUUAGUCACAGGUAUGUUGUACUCCCUCCAUCCCAAAUUAAGUGGCUCAACUUUGUACUAACUUUAGUACAAAGUUGAGUCACUUAUUUUGGGACGGAGGGAGUAUUACGGAACGAGUAAAGAGACUUGUCAGUAACGAGAUUGAACUACGUACGGUGAUGUCGAUGAUCGAAUCUCCGGCAAGUAACAUAUCGCCAGCCAAAGGGAAUUGUAUACGGGAUUAACUGAAUCCUCGAAAUCGUGGUUCAACCAAUAAUGAUCUUUGUUGAAUAUGUGGGAGUCAAUAUGGGAAUCCAAGUCCCGCUAUUGAUUAUUGAUCGGAGAGGAGUCUCGGUCAUGUCUGCAUGUUCUCGAACCCGUAUGGUCACACACUUAACGUUCGGUAAUGCUACGGUGGUAUUGGGAUAUUCAUAUGGUGAAGUCAGAAAGUAGUUCGGAAUCCCGUAUGGGAUCCAGUACAUCACGAGGAGCUGCAGAAUGGUCUGGAGGUCAAUAUUUAUAUAUGGGAAGUCAUAUUCAGGGUUCCAGAAAAUGUUUGGAUUUUUGAAUAGUGUACCGGGAAGGUUCUAGAAGGUUCCGAAAUGGGCCACAUGCAUGGGGGCCCACAUGGACAUGGGUAGUUGGGCAAGGAAUAAGAUCAUACCUGGAAGGGAUAAGAUCAAGAUUUCUAAAAAGGGGGGAUAUUGAUCAGUGGGGAAGGAAAGGAGGGGAUUUCCUUCCCCCCGUUAACCAACGACCCUAGGGACUUGGAGGGCAAGCCACCAGCCCCCCCUACCCCAUGCAUAUAUAAAGGUGGGGAGGCGCAGGGGGCAGCAGCCCUUAUAGCCUUGGUCGCUGCCUCUCCCUAACCCCUUCCAUCUCCUCCGUGCAAACACUUGGCGUAGCCCUGCUGCAGUUCCGCUGCCACCGCCACCACCAUGCCAUCAUGAUGGCCUAGAGCCCAUCUACCUCUCCACCCUCCCUUGCUGCAUCAAGAAGGCACAGACGUCACUGAGCCGUACGUGUGCACACCUCAGAGGUGUCGUUCGUUCAGCAUUGGAUCAGAUUGGAUCGCAAAGGGAGUACAACUACGCCAACCACGAUCUCUAGAUUGUUAACACUUUUGGUCUACAAGGGUAUGUAGACACCCCCCCCCCCUCUCGUUGCUAGCAUCUCCAUAGAAUAGAUCUCGGAUGUUUCGUAUGAUUUUUUUGUUUUCUAUGCAACCUUCCCCAACAAGACCAUGGGAAGCCGCCGCCGCUUGGGUCCCAGGAAGGCCACCACCACCAUAUUGCCAGGUUACACAACCCGUGACUUUCCAUCUUCGCGGGGGCAUAGGCCACCGCGACCAUAUUCUCCCGCCUAAAAGCUAACCACUAAUUCGGUCUUUGCGGAGGGGAGGCUAUUCUUCCCCUCCCGCUGAAGCAUUUAGCUCUAGGGCUCACGACGGGCAAGUGAUUUUGCUGUCGGACACGGGGAAGACAUGUCAUGGCAAACGGGCUCCACCUCGACCGCAAUAGACUAGGUUAGAAUAUCCUAUGCUAGUCCGAUAUUGUUUUGUUGAAAUAUGUCUGAAAUGUAAAUGUUUUCGUUCGGUUUAUAUUGAAAUCAUCCAGUUUGUUAAAAUUCACUUUAAUUUGGAAUGUAUGCGGGCAGGGUUUGAUGGCGGCUUCCGCAUCAGUGUCCGUGGACUGGUCCCCACCGAUCCGCAAAUGGAUAUGAUGUCUAGUUUGGGAGGCCAACAUUCGAGAUGCCCUUAUUAGCUUUACUUUUGGUUUGGAAGGAUCCUUUCCGCUUUUUUCUCGUUUCUUGCCUUACAUGGUUUCCCCCCUACGAGACCUGGCCAGGGUGGUUCUUGGGGCAGCUAUGCAUUAUUUGCCUUUUUCCUUCAUCUUUCUCUUAUUAUUUAUAUUAUACUUUUCAUUUAUUAUUUCAUGCUUCUUUAUCAGCAACCACCAUAAAAAAAGCCAAGUUUGCGGAGAUUGAUGCGGUGGCGGAGGAAUGUUUUCUCAAGUUUGUGAACAUUUUUGAAAAUCAUGCACAAGUUUUUAAAAAUCACAAACAAUUAUCGAAUUCUGAUGUUUACUGAAAUGCGGUAACAAUUUGCAAUUGAUAAAAAAAUCAUAUCCGUGAACAUCCUCUACAAGUUUAACCGUGGCUACCUAGGCCAUCGCUCAGGCCAUCUGCAGAUUUGCAGUGGCUGGCAAGUGGGCCAUCUAACUGUGGUGUACCCUGUACAUCAGAUUCUGUGCAAUGUACCACUGGAUGUGGCCCCAGUUGUGUGGUAGAGCUGGCUGCAUUUGGGCCUGCUGUGUGCGGUCUCAUCGAUGACCAACCCACAAGCUUCCAUUCCAAUAGAAAAAAUGGGUGGCGCACGGUUUCCAUCAAUUUUGCAUGUUUUUUUGCGGCACAGUUUCCUUUGGUUCUUUUGACUGUUUCUUUUAUUUUUUUUAUCUGGUUUUCUUUUUUUUGGCAUUCCUUGAUUUUUAUGGUUUUUUUUUCUGAUUCAUUCAUAUUUUUCAAAUUUUUAGAUAUUGUUCAAAAUUCAUUAAAAUCUUUAUAAAUUGACUAUAUUUUUAUUUUAUGAACAUCUUUUAAAAUUCAUGAACACCUUUUUUAAAUCCAUGAUUUAAAAAGACUAAGAGCAUUUCAAAAAUCUAAACUAGGUUUUCCAAGAGCUGGGAACAUGGCUUUUUAAACUGGUUAGAUAUUUUUUAUGUUGUAAUGCGGCUUUCAACAGUCUUUUACUAGCCGGGUACACAAUUUUGUCAACAAAGUUUUUCAUAGCUAGGAGCAUGGUUUUCUUCAAUUGGUUUAUUUUUCUUCGGACACAGCAACUUCAGAUUUUUCUUUGAGUGGGAGCCGCCCAUGUGGAUGUUUCAGGGGCAACCCAUCGCUAAAGGCGACGAAUAGGAUCUCCCAUAUACACGAGUGCUUCAACAAGACAAUAUAGGGCACAGGAAAGGGUUGGGCACAUAUGGCCACAUGUGCCCAUGGUUACUUCCAUUUUUUUCUUUCAUUUAUCACAAUUGCAAAAAAAGAUAUGUACAUUUUUUUCUCACAUGAGCUAUAGAGGAAAUGUAAAGUGUAUACUUCAAAAGAUUGUUUAUCUUGUUUUAAAAAUGUGAAUGUUUACAAAAAAUAUGCAUGUGCUUUUAGAAAAUGUUCAUGUAAAAAAACAUUAAUGUGUUAAAGAUGUUCGUGCGAUUAAAAAUGCUCAUGUGUUUUUUAAAAUGGUUAUGUGUUCAAAAGAUGACCGUGCAUUUCUAAAAUGUUCACAUGUCGAGAGCAGCGAUUAGGUGCCCAGGCUCAUCUGCACCCGUGCUGAAGAAAAAAAUUUAAAACAAAUAGUAGAAAAAUUCAAAAAAUCCGGUAGAUAAUUUAGUGUGUGAGGUCCACUCCAAAAUUCAGAUCAUUUGGACAUCUAGGUAGCUCUCGGCAAAAAAGAUAAAUUUGGGGUCUGUAAAAAAGUUUUCUUUUCAUGUACUAUUCGGACCCAUUUUUUUGCUAAGUGCUACUCAUAUGUCCAAAUGAUUUGAAAUUUGGAGCGCACCUCACGCAUCAAAUUAUCUACCAUGCAAAAAUUGGAAUUUUUAUGAAUUUUCUGUGAAUUUUUUCUUGAUCGGUAUUGAUGAGUCUGGGCUCAAAACGGAUAUUCGUUACAUGUCAAAUUUGCAUGUGCUUAAAAAUGUCCACACAUUAAAAAUGUUUAGGUAUUUUGUAAAGGUGAAAAAUAAAACUACAAAAUGGAAAACAAAGAUUAAACUGAAAGAAAUUUGGCAGAAAUGGCAGAGAGCCAAAAGAAAACUAUGCGUGUGUGGCGCUAACGUGAAAAGUCACCGAAAUGUACAGUCAUGCACAUGAAUUCUUCGCAUGUGCGAUUAGGCUAUUAUUUUCCGCGUCAGGCGGAGAACAGGAUUUGCCCCCAUCACAAAAUAUUCAUAACCUAAGGGGACACAUAGGCCAUGAAUAGGAUCUUGCGGAUAAACAUAGACAAAUGUUCAAAUCCACCAUCACCAACAAUGCAUAACCCAAACCUACAUAAAAUGUACACGGAGAACAUGGUUAUAGCUGGGCGGGGCAGAGCGCACCUUUUUGUCUAGUUUUUUGAAACCCGAGAACAUUUUUCUAGUUCAUGAGAUUUUUCAGAAGUUUAAGAGCAAUUUUUUAAAUAUGCGAAUCUUUUAUGAUUUUGUGAACAUUUUUUGAAUUGACAAACAAUUAUUGAAAUUGGGGAACAAGUUUUUAAAUUUACCACCAUUUUCUGAAGCAUGGAUAUUUUUAAAAAAAAUCAGAAUAUUUUUCAAAUUCAUGAACAUUUUUAUUUCAUGUUUUUUUUAAAUUAGGAACGAUUUUCAAACUUAUGAAUUUUUUUAUAAUCUGUGAAUAUUUUUAAAAAUGUGUAUUUUUUUGAAAUCUUUUUCUCAAUGAUAUAAAAAAAUAGUAGUAAAAGGAUGAAAUGGAAAAACUAGGCGUGCAGGCACAAAAGGGCAUGCGGUAACCAGAGGGUGCGCGUUUGGGCAACUAGGACCGCACUAUGUGCGAAAUGGGGCGAGCUCCAAAUCAAGCGCGGAGGAUGAAGACGAGCAGCUCUCCCUCGGCGGCGUCGCAUCGAGUAAAUGGGGUAGGGAUUUGACGAGAAAAAUCGAUGUUUCAACCCUCAACUAGCCUUCAAUUUUAUAACCCUUAUCUUUGAAAUCGGUCGAAUUGCACCCUCAAAUUGGCACAAUGUUCAAAAAAUUGAAGGAAAUAUGCCCUAGAGGCAAUAAUAAAGUUAUUAUUUAUUUCCUUAUUUCAUGAUAAAUGUUUAUUAUUAAUGCUAGAAUUGUAUUAACCGAAAACAUAAUACAUGUCUGAAUACAUAGACAAACAUAGUGUCACUAGUAUGCCUCUACUUGAUUAGCUCGUUAAUUAAAGAUGGUUAAGUUUACUAAUCAUAGACAUGAGUUGUCAUUUGAUUAACGGGAUCACAUCAUUAGGAGAAUGAUGUGAUUGACUUGACCCAUUCCGUUAGCUUAGCACUUGUUUGUUUAGUAUGUUGCUAUUGCUUUCUUCAUAACUUAUACAUGUUCCUAUGACUAUGAGAUUAUGUAACUCCCGUUUACCAGAGGAACACUUUGUGUGCUACCAAACAUCAUAACGUAACUGGGUGAUUAUAAAGGUACUCUACAGGUGUCUCCAAAGGUACUUGUUGAGUUGACGUAUUUCGAGAUUAGGAUUUGUCACUCCGGUUGUCGGAGAGGUAUCUCUGGGCCCUCUCGGUAAUGCACAUCACUAUAAGCCUUGCAAGCAAUGUAGCUAAUGAGUUAGUUACGAGAUGAUGCAUUACGUAACGAGUAAAGAGACUUGCCGGUAACGAGAUUGAACUAGGUAUUGGAUACCGAUGAUCGAAUCUCGGGCAAGUAACAUACCGAUGACAAAGGGAGCAACGUAUGUUGUUAUGCGGUUUGACCAAUAAAGAUCUUCGUAGAAUAUGUAGGAGCCAAUAUGAGCAUCCAGUUUACGCUAUUGGUUAUUGACCGGAAACGAGUCUCGGUCAUGUCUACAUAGUUCUCGAACCCAUAGGGUCCGCACGCUUAAGGUUUCAUUGACAGUUUUAUUAUGAGUUUAUAAGUUUUGAUGUACCGAAGGUUGUUCGGAGUCCCGGAUAUGAUCACAGACUUGACGAGGAGUCUCAAAAUGGUCGAGACAUAAAGAUCGAUAUAUUGGACGACUAUAUUUGGACACCGGAAAGGUUCCGGGUGAGAUUGGGACAAUACCGGAACUCCGGGAGGUUAUCGGAACCCUCCGGGAGGUAUAUGGGCCUUAUUGGGCCUUAGUGGAAAGGAGGGAGAAGGAGCAAAGGAGGGGGCGCCCCCCCAAGCCCAAUCCCGCCCCCUUUCCUUAUUCCCUCCCACCUCUUCCUUCCCUCUCCCUCUCCUAAUAGGAAAGGGGGAGUCCUACUCCCGGUUCGGGUUGGACUCCCCCCCUAGGGCGCGCCACCCUCCCUUGGUCGGCCCCUUCCUCCACUCUUUUAUAUACGGGGGAGGGAGCACCCCAUAGACACAACAAUUGAUCUCUUGAUCUCUUAGCCGUGUGCGGUGCCCCCCUCCACCAUAGUCCUCCUCGAUAAUAUUGUAGCGGUGCUUAGGCGAAGCCUUGCAACGGUAGAACAUCAAGAUCGUCACCACGCCGUCGUGUUGACGGAACUCUCCCUCGACACUCGGCUGGAUCGGAGUUCGAGGGACAUCAUCGAGCUGAACGUGUGCUAGAACUUGGAGGUGCCAUAGUUUCGGUGCUUGAUCGGUCGGGUCAUGAAGACGUACGACUACAUGAACCGCGUUGUUCUAACGCUUCCGCUUUCGGUCUACGAGGGUACAUGGACAACACUCUCCCCUCUCGUUGCUAUGCAUCAAUGAUGACCCACAAGUAUAGUGGAUCUAUCAUAGUCCUUUCUAUAAGUAAGAGUGUCGAACCCAACGAGGAGCAGAAGGAAAUAAUAAGCGGUUUUCAGCAAGGUCUCUGCAAGUACUGAAAUAAGUGGUAACAGAUAGUUUUGUGAUAGGAUAAAUUGUAACAAGCAACAAGUAACAAAAGUAAAUAAAGUGCAGCAAGGUGGCCCAAUCCUUUUUGUAGCAAAGGAAAAGACUGGAAAAACUCUUAUAAUAGGAAAAGCGCUCCCGAGGACACAUGGGAAUAUCGUCAAGCUAGUUUUCAUCACGCUCAUAUGAUUCGCGUUCGGUACUUUGAUAAUUUGAUAUGUGGGUGGACCGGUGCUUGGGUAUUGCCCUUACUUGGACAAGCAUCCCACUUAUGAUUAACCUCUAUUACAAGCGUCCGCAACUACAACAAAAGUAUUAAGGUAAACCUAACCAUAGCAUGAAACAUAUAGAUCCAAAUCAGCCCCUUACGAAGCAACGCAUAAACUUGGGUUUAAGCUUCUGUCACUCUAGCAACCCAUCAUCUACUUAUUACUUCCCAAUGCCUUCCUCUAGGCCCAAAUAAUGGUGAAGUGUUAUGUAGUCGACGUUCGCAUAACACCACUAGAGGUUAGACAACAUACAUCUUAUCAAAAUAUCGAACGAAUACCAAAUUCACAUGACUACUAAUAGCAAGACUUCUCCCUUGUCCUCGGGAACAAACAAAAUUACUCACAAAUCAUAUUCAUGUUCAUAAUCAGAGGGGUAAUAUUGUGCAUAAAUGAUCUGAACAUAUGAUCUUCCACCAAAUAAACCAACUAGCAUCAACUACAAGGAGUAAUCAACACUACUAGCAACCUACUAGCACCAAUCCCGGACUUGGAGACACGAAUUGGAUACAAGAGAUGAACUAGGGUUUGGAGAUGAGAUGGUGCUGGUGAAGAUGUUGAUGGAGAUUGCCCUCUCCCGAUGAGAGGAGCGUUGGUGAUGACGAUGGUGAUGAUUUCCCCCUCCCGGAGGGAAAUGUCCCCGGCAGAACAGCUCUGCGGGAGCCCUAGAUUGGUUCCGCCUCGUGGUGGCGGAGUCUCAUCCCGAAAGGUUCUCUGCUAUUUUUUUCUCAUCAAAAGACUUCAUAUGGGAGAAGAUGGGCGUCGGAGAGCCACCAGGGGGGCCACGAGGUAGGGGGCGCGCCCCCACCCUCAUGAACAGGGUGUGGGCCCCCUGGCCUUCAUCUUUGGGGACGAUUUUUCUUUAUUAUUCUAAGGUAUUCCGUGGAGUUUCAAGACUCUUGGAGUUGCGCAGAAUAGUCCUUCAAUAUUUGCUCCUUUUCCAGCCCAGAAUUCCAGCUGCCGGCAUUCUCCCUCUUCAUGUAAACCUUGUAAAAUAAGAGAGAAUAGCCAUAAGUAUCGUGACAUAACGUGAAAUAACAACCCAUAAUGCAAUAAAUAUCGACAUAAAAGCAUGAUGCAAAAUGGACGUAUCAACUCCCCCAAGCUUAGACCUCGCUUGUCCUCAAGUGAAAAGCCGAUAACAAUAAAUAUGUCCUCACGUUCUAGUUCGAGAGGUAAAUGACAUGCUUUUCCAUAGACCAUUUUAUACGGAGACAUACCCAUAAGAUUUUUAUAUGCAGUUCUAUAGGCCCAUAAUGCAUCAUCCAGUUUUUUGGACCAAUUCUUUCAAGACCUAUUGACAGUCUUUUGCAAAAUUAAUUUGAGCUCUCUAUUGCUCAAUUCUACCUGACCACUCGACUGCGGGUGAUAUGGAGAUGCAAUUCUAUGAUUAACGUCGUAUUUAGCAAGCAUCUUACCGAAAGCACCAUGAAUAAAGUAUGAACCACCAUCAGUCAUUAAGUAUCUAGGGACUCCAAACCUCGAAAAAAUAACUUCCUUAAGCAUUUUAAUAGAAGUGUUAUGAUCGGCACUACUAGUUGGAAUAGCUUCUACCCACUUAGUAACAUAAUCAACAGCAACUAGAAUAUGAGUGUAACCAUUAGAGGCAGGAAAAGGUCCCAUGUAAUCAAAGCCCCAAACAUCAAAUGGCUCAAUAACAAGUGAAUAGUUCAUAGGCAUUUCUUGACGUCUACUAAUAUUACCAAUUCUUUGACAUUCAUCGCAAGACAAAACAAACUUACGGGCAUCCUUGAAGAGAGUAGGCCAAUAAAACCCGGAUUGCAAUACCUUAUGUGCAGUUCUAUCUCUGGCGUGGUGUCCUCCGUAAGCUUCGGAGUGACACUUGUGUAGGAUCUGUUCAUGUUCAUGCUCAGGUACACAACGUCUAAUAACACCAUCUACUCCUUCUUAUAAAGAUGUGGGUCAUCCCAAAAGUAAUGUCGCAAGUCAUAGAAAACCUUUUUCUUUUGUUGGUAUGUGAAACUAGGCGGUGUAAAUUUAGCAACAAUAUAAUUAGCAUAAUAAGCAUACCAUGCAGUGAUACGAGAAGUACUUAUGACAUUUAAUUGCUCAUCAGGAAAGCUAUCAUCAAUAGGUAGUGGGUCAUCAAGAACAUUCUCUAGCCUAGACAAGUUGUCGGCAACGGGGUUCUCAGCUCCUUUUCUAUCAACAAUAUGUAAAUCAAAUUCUUGAAGCAAAAGAACCCAUCUAAUGAGUCUAGGUUUUUCAUCUUUCUUUUCCAUAAGAUAUUUAAUAGCAGCAUGAUCUGUAUGAAUAGUUACUCUAGAAUCAACAAUAUAGGGUCUGAAUUUAUCACAAGCAAAUACAACCGCUAAAAGUUCCUUUUCGGUAGUAGCAUAAUUUCUUUGAGCAUUGUCUAGAGUCUCACUAGUAUAAUGGAUAACAUUCAAUUUCUUAUCAACUCUUUGCCCUAGAACAACACCUACAGCAUAAUCACUAGCAUCACACAUAAUUUCAAAGGGUAAAUUCCAAUCAGGUGGUUGAACAACAGGUGCAGAGACUAAUGCUUUUUUAAGUAUUUCAAAUGCUUCUACACAAUCAUCAUCAAAGACAAAUGGUACAUCUUUUUGUAGUAAAUUAGUCAGAGGCCGAGAGAUUUUUGAGAAGUCCUUGAUGAACCUCCUAUAAAAUCCGGCGUGACCAAGGAAACUUCUUAUACCUUUGAUGUCCUUGGGACAUGGCAUCUUUUCAAUAGCAUCAACCUUGGCUUUAUCAACUUCAAUACCUCUUUCAGAAACUUUGUGCCCCAAGACAAUACCUUCAUUAACCAUAAAGUGGCACUUUUCCCAGAUCAAGGAUCACUAGAAGGUACAGCAAUAGAAGCAAGACCAAUAAUUUCAUCCUUACUAGGCAAUUCUUCCUCACUAUGUUGUUUACUAAAUUUAGAGAAAUUAAACUCAUGAACCAUAUCAUCCAAGCCAACAGUAACAACAUUCUUUUUGCAGUCUGUCUUAGCAUUAACAGUACGCAAGAAAGGUCUACCAAAUAUAAUGGGACAGAAGCUAUCUUGUGGAGAACCAAGAACAAGAAAAUCAGCGGGAUAUUUGGUUUUCCCACACAAGACUUCAACAUCUCUAACAAUUCCCAUUGGAGAUAUAGUAUCUCUAUUGGCAAGUUUAAUUGUAACAUCAAUAUCUUCUAACUCAGCAGGUGCAAUCUCAUGCAUAAUUUCUUUGUAUAAGCCAAUGGGUAUAACACUAGCACUAGCACCCAUAUCACAUAAGCCAUGAUAACGAUGAUCUCCUAUUUUAACAGAAAUAACAGGCAUGCCUACCACAGGUCUAUGUUUAUCUCUAUCACAGGGUUGAGCAAUUCUAGCAGUUUCACCGGUGAAUUGAAUAACAUGCCCAUCAAUAUUAUCAGACAAGAGAUCUUUAACAAUAGCAAUAUUGGGUUCUACUUUGACUUGCUCAGGAGGUGUAUAAGUCCUAAUAUUGCUUCUAUGAACAACAGUUGAAGCUUUAGCAUGAUCCUUUAUUCUAACAGGGAAAGGGGGUUUCUCAACAUAAGUAGGAACAAUAGGAUCAUUAUAAGUGACAAUCUUUUCUUCAACUUUAAUAGGUGCAGCUAUUUUUACUUCUAUGGGAGGAUGGUAUUUAAACCAGUUCUCCUUGGGGAGAUCAACAUAAGUAGCAAAAGAUUCACAUAAAGAAGCUACUAUCUCAGAGUCAAGUCCAUAUUUAGUGCUAAACUUAUGGAAAAUAUCGGUAUCCAUAAAAGAUUUAACACAAUCAAACUUAGGUGUCAUACCUGACUCCUUACCUUCGUCGAGGUCCCAAUCUUCAGAGUUGCAUUUAAUUCUAUACAAUAAAUUCCAUCCAAAUUCAAUAUACUUCACCAUAAAAGAGCCAGCACAAGAGGUAUCGAGCAUGGUGCGAUUCUUAUCAGAAAGCCGAGCAUAAAAAUUCUGAAGAAUUGUCAAUUUUGAGAGCUCAUGAUUGGGGCAUGAAUAUAAGAUUGAUUUAAGCCUCCCCCAAGCUUGAGCGAUGCUUUCUCCUUCGCGAGGCCAAAAAUUACAUAUAUAAUUGCGAUCACGAUGAACAAGAUGCAUAGGGUAAUACUUUUGAUGAAAUUCCAAUUUCAAUUUUUUAUAGUUCCAUGAUCUCGUAUCAUCACAUAGCCUAUACCAUGUCAAUGCGUCUCCCUCCAAAGAUAAAGGGAAAGCCUUCCUCUUAACGGCAUCAUCGGGUAUACCUGCAAGCUUAAAUAGUCCACAAAUAUCAUCCACAAAGCAUAGAUGUUCGUCAGGAUGCUUUGUUCCAUCUCCUGCGAAAGUAUUGGCUAGCAGUUUUUCCAUCAUACCCGAAGGAAUCUGAAAAGCAGUUUCAUUUUCAAUAGGUUCAGUAGGUUCAGUAGGUUGAGGAGCAAUUCUUGGCUCAACUGGACGGGGUGAAGAUACCUCGAAUAAGCCCCUCAAACAAUUACUUUCCAUGGUAGCAAGUGACAGAAAAUUUCAGCACACUAAAUAAAUUUUUCCUUACCAAAUUCCACCUAGCAAAGGCGCUUCACUCCCCGGCAACGGCGCCAGAAAAGAGUCUUGAUGACCCACAAGUACAGGGGAUCUACCGUAGUCCUUUCGAUAAGUAAGAGUGUCGAACCCAACGAGGAGCAGAAGGAAAUGAUAAGCGGUUUUCAGCAAGGUAUUCUCUGCAAGUACUGAAAUAAGUGGUAACAGAUAGUUUUGUGAUAGGAUAAAUUGUAACAAGCAACAAGUAACAAAAGUAAAUGAAGUGCAGCAAGGUGGACCAAUCCUUUUUGUAGCAAAGGACAAGCCUGGACAAACCUUAUAAUAGGAAAAGCGCUCCCGAGGACACAUGGUAAUAUCGUCAAGCUAGUUUUCAUCACGCUCAUAUGAUUCGCGUUCGGUACUUUGAUAAUUUGAUAUGUGGGUGGACCGGUGCUUGGUUACUGCCCUUACUUGGACAAGCAUCCCACUUAUGAUUAACCUCUAUUGCAAGCGUCCACAACUGCAACAAAAGUAUUAAGGUAAACCUAAUUGUCGGUGUCAAAACCGGCAGAUCUCGGGUAGGGGGAGCCGAACUGUGCGUCUAGGCGGAUGGUAACAGGAGACAAGGGACAUGAUGUUUUACCCAGGUUCGGGCCCUCUUGAUGGAGGUAAAACCCUACGUCCUGCUUGAUUGAUAUUGAUAUUGUGGAUGUUUACAAGAGUAGAUCUACCACGAGAUCAAGGAGGCUAAACCCUAGAAGCUAGCCUAUGGUAUGAUUGGGGUUGUUGUUGUGUCCUACGGACUAAAGCCAUCCGGUUUAUAUAGACACCGGAGAGGGCUAGGGUUACAUAGAGUCGGUUACAAUGGUAGGAGAUCUACAUAUCCGUAUCGCCAAGCUUGCCUUCCACGCCAAGGAAAGUCCCAUCCGGACACGGGACAAAGUCUUCAAUCUUGUAUCUUCAUAGUCUUGGAGUCCGGUCGAUGAUGAUAGUCCGGCCGAUGAUAGAUCGGCCGAUGAUGGUAGUCCGGCUAUCCGGACACCCCCUAAUCCGGGACUCCCUCAGUAGCCCCUGAACCAGGCUUCAAUGAUGAUGAGUCCGGCGCGCAUAUUGUUCGGCAUUGCAAGGCGGGUUCCUCCUCCGAAUAAUUUGUCGAAGAUUGUGAACACAAGGAUAGUGUCCGGCUCUGCAAAAUAAAUUCCACAUUCCACCGUAGAGAGAAUAAUAUAUACACAAGUUCAAUCUGCUGACGUUUUUUGCGACAUGACGUCACACCACUACCAAGCCAUUACUUGAAUCGUUUUUACUUUACCACCUCAGCGCAUUUAGCAAAGCGGUUUCCUUGGCACGUCUUGUCGAAGCAGAGAUCGUGUUCCCCCUUAAUCCGGGAUUCUCAUCAAUACGAACGUGGGUAACCCAACCGCGCCCGUCGCCACGCCCCCUCUAUCGAAGGCAAGUCCCGAACGGUCACGGAGACGGCUCUCGGUAUUCUCCCUCUUUAUAACGGGACCAAGGCUCGUUUCUUUUCUUCAAUCCUCCAUCGAAUCCUCUUCCUGCUCCGAGUUCCAGCACCUAGAGCUCCAGAUUCGAGCGCUUCGGACCUUCAACGAUGUCCGGUUCCGACCUCCAGGGCUGGUGGAUGCUCUCCUCCGUCACGGAGGAGGACGUGCUAAAGCUGCGGGAGGCCAAGUACCUGACUUACGAGAUUUCGCACAGGUUGCGUGCCGAAGGGCAGGCCAUCCCCACCCCCGAGUCCGGCGAGUAUGUUGUUUUUGUAUCCCACCUCCGUCGGGGUUUAGGCUUCCCGAUGGAUCCUUUUGUGAGAGGGCUCAUGUUUUACUAUGGGUUGGAAUUCCACGAUUUGGCUCCGGAGUCCAUCCUCCAUAUCUCUGCAUUUAUUGUCGUCUGCGAAGCCUUCCUCCGCGUCACCCCUCACUUCAGCCUGUGGUUGAAGACCUUCAAUGUGGCGCCGAAGAUGAUCGGGGGGCGUCAAGCGGAGUGCGGCGGGGCGGCCGUAAGUAGGAGGGCCGAUGCCCCGUGGCCCGCGGGCUCCUUCCAAGAGGAGCUCGGCUUGUGGCAGCAAGAGUGGUUCUAUAUUACCGUUCCGAGGGGCCGCAAACAAAAGCCGCCGCCCUUAUUCCGCCCGGGACCUCCACGACGGUUGAUGUCGUGGGUCAACCAAGGGCUCAACUGGGGGCCUUCAAAGGACGUGCCCCUACUGCAGGGCCGGAUUCGAGAUCUCCAGGCGAGGGAGAUCGAUCUGGUCGUGGUGAUGUAGGUUAUGCUGAUCAGGCGUCACUUGCCCUACAAACACCGUCCUCUCCGACUAUGGGAAUUUAAUCCGGAGGGACCACGGAUUCUCCAACACUUCAUGGGCAAGACACCCGCGGAGAUGUACAAAUUAUUCUUCGGACCUCAAGUAGCGCGUCCGAAAUUGACCGAGGAUGCUGGCCUAAGCUGCAAUUGCCCGGAUACUCAAGUAAGUAGUUCCAAGUCCGGACAUACCGUUUGUUUGCCUUUCGAUGAUUCGCCUUAUAACCGAUUUCCUUCUAAACAGGAGUGGAUAGCGGAAGCAAAAUUGAUGUGGUGUCCAGCCCCCCUCCCCGAGACUGCGCCGAAUUCCGUGCUGGUCCGGAUGCUGGAGGUUGCGCCUCCAGAGCAAGGCGAAGGGGAAAGUAGAAAAGCUACCGCCUCACCUAAGGAGGCUCUUGAAAGAGGGGGGAUUGAGAAUCCCUCCCUCCAAGGGGAGAAGAGGACUGCCUCCAAGGACCCGGGGGCUAAAGCCCCUAAACGAGGGAAGAAAUCUUCGCCAGAGGGUCCUGCGUCUGGGGAGGCCCCGGCUGCACAGUCUCCCUUAAAGAAUCAGCCCUCCAACGAGCCGUAAGUAGAAAGAAAGGAGUUUUUUAAUAAGGGACAUCCCUUUUUGUGCUUCUGAGGAUAACUAAAGUUUUUACCUUGUAGUUCGGAUCUCCGUCCUUCGCAAAUGAGCUCGUCUUCGGGGGACCUUCGUCCGGAGAUGAUGGAGAGCGAGACGCCUCCGUCCGGGGCGCCGUCGGAUAGGGCGGACAAGCCUGAAGUGUCAUCAAGGAGGGAGCCCCCGGGUUUCGCGAAGCCGGAUAGUUCGGCGCCAACUGGUGUACGACUGAAGGAUCUGCUUGAGAAGGCGUCUAUCUCAGAAGAUCACCACGCAUUGAUGAGUGUGGUGAUUAAAAGGAUUUCAUCCGCCGAAGGCGGGUUGCAUAAUGCCGUCAGGAGUUUGCUGGCGGGGUUUGAGGUACGUAAAAAUGACACACCUUUUAACAGUUUUGCAUAUAGAAUGCACCCUGUAUAGAUAGUAGCCCUUGAGACUCGGUAGGUUGUCGAAAUCGACAGCGUGCCGAGGAUCAAAAUUGCAGGUUUAAAUUUCCGCCGUGCCUAUGCAGGUGGUGGGUCAUCCGGGGGCCAGCCCAACUGAUGGAGUUGCUGAACUAAAGCGGCAACUCGCCGUUGCGGAUGCGGACAUCACGCUGGUCAACAGGCGACUUGAUGAGUCGCAAGGUAAGUGUUUCUUUGCGGUCACUUGGUAAGGGAGUCGAAGCCAGCUCCUUACAACAUGUGUGUGAAAUGCAGAUAGUGCCGCUGCUGUGGAGAGCCUUCGGGCCAAACUUGCUCAAGCCAAGGAGCAGGCCAGAAGGAGUAAUGCGGCGGCCUCGAGGGCGGCCGAGGAGUUAGCGGCCGAAAGGGCCGCACACUGCCGAAGCAGGGAAGAGAUGGCCGAAAUGGCCGUGAAGUUAAAAGAUGCUACCGACCGCAAUGAGGCUCUUGGGAAGGAGUGCCUAGCGGGGUAGUAAGACCUGGGGAAGGCCACCGCCGAAGCCAAGGAUGCCCGCUCUGCAAUGCGGGCUAUAAAGGAAGAGCUGCGCCAGGCCAAAGACAUUGUAGCUGGCAAGCCUUUUCUGCUGCGCCGAAGGUUUACGGACCCAAAGUAUGCUCAGCUGGGCCAACUGUGGGGUCCAGAGGACCCUUAUAUGGACUUAGCAACGAGUGCGGCGGAUGCCGUUGUGCAUUUUCGAAGCCAGAAGGAUCACAAGACGGAAGAGUUGUUUUGGUCUCAAUUCCAUAGUCCGGAGCGUUCACUUCCGCCGACCGACCGUUUGGCCGAGUGGGCUGAGCUAAAUAGGCUGUCCGGGCUUGCCAUGACGGAUAUCGUGACCCAUAUCUGGCCGGAUAGGCCCAAGCCGAAGAGUUACUUUGGCUUAUUGCAGCAAUUUCUUGGGGCGGUGCCGCAUAUCAAGGCGAUGAAGCGGUCAGCCUGCAUAGAGGGUGUGCGGAUGGCACUCGCCCGUGUGAAGACACAUUGGACAGAGAUGGAUGCCACCGCUGUUGCGACCCCGGGUUCGGACGAUAGCCGGUUACCCGCCGAGCACUAUUUUGGCGAAGUGUUGCGUGGUGCUCGUGUAAUAGAGUCGCAGUGCUAAAAAAAUGUUACGUUCAAAUGAACGUUUUUAUGAUGUAAAACAAUAUUUAUGAUGUAAGCGCCUUUUAUACUUGUGCGUUCAAGUAAUGGAAUAUCUCCUAUGCGGCCGUUCAUGUAUACGUGUGUAUAACCUGAAAGAUGGCAGUCGUCGGCUUCAGCCCCCACGCGCAAGGUGCGGGGGUGUUCGCAAAAAAUAGCACGUUUUCACACUUAAUCCAACGUCUCGGUCCUGUAAAGGAGGUGGUAGCGUAGCAAACGAGGCAACCGGACUAUAAUGCUUUAUCACUUUCACUUAGCCAUGGAGUUCGAGGGUGGGGCUACGACAUAGCCCCUGGGGGCACCGCGCUCUCUGAAUUUGGGGCGCGUAUGUGCCUGACCGGGAAAUGGCCCUUCGUCAAAGCGGAGGAAUUCUAAACAUUCCCUUGGUCGAUCGAGUGGUUGACCAGUCUCUCGCUGUAUCUUGAUAGUCAGUUUUCGGCUUUCUCUACUGAGGUGCUCGCCCAGCCGAACUGGGGCACAAUCGCAGUAGUUCUCCUGGUGCCGCGUUAGCCGAUGAUACGGAACGUAAGGCAGCAAAACACAGGAGCCGGGCAAACCCAACAUUUGACCCAAGACAUGAUUCGGAGCUGAUGCAUAUAAGGCCUAACUCGAGACGCCGAACACUCCCGAAGGUGUUCGGUCUUUAUGAUAACGGGCAAAACAAUGCCCUAAGCCCCAUGUGUCCAGGUAUGGGCAAGUUCCUCUGGCGUGGCCGAUGCCAAAACGCCAGCCUCCACUCUGGUUAUAAUGAGAAACUAGGGGAUUAUAGCAACAAGAGACAGUAAGAAAGGUUUACGUAGGGUCUUAGUCUGAAAAGAAUCCUUGAAACGGGUCCCUACUGCACGUCUGCGCCUAUGUCUCCGUUGUGCCGUAUCUUGGAUGGGUGUGCACGUUGUUCAUCUGUAAAAAGAGAGGAACUUAGUUUUGAAAAGAAAUCAUGCAAAAAAGUACGUAAAAACUUGAAAUAUAAAUUUAGAAAGCUGAGCCUAUGAUAGCUCAUUAUAGCUUGUAUACACAAACCCUUGUGAAGGGGUGUGCGGCUAGGUAACCCCUAGCUUAUUUAUUCCGGACCCGUCUAUCCGUGUCCGGGGUCUUAGAUGACCUUUUAAUGAAAUGAUGCCGCGUGGACCGGGCAUUUUAAGCGUAAGAGACGCAUAGUGUGGUAUUGCGUUAAAGCGGAUGAAAGCUUCACGUCCCAGUAGUGCUUGAUAGCUACUUUUGAAUGGGGCGACAUGAAAGGUUAGCUUUUCUCGUCGGAAGUUGUCAGGUGACCCGAACACAACUUCUAGUAAUAAUGAACCUGUGCACCUGGCGUAAGGGCCUGGCGCCACUCCUUUGAAGGAAGUGCGGCUAUGUCUAAUUGUAGUAGGGUCUAUCCCCAACUUGCGGAUUGUGUCCGGAUAUAGCAGGUUUAAGUCACUGCCGCCGUCCAUCAGAACUUGCGUAAAUUGCAGUCCGUCUAUUAUGGGAUCCAAUAUUAGAGCAGUCCAUCCUGCAUUCCGGAUACUUCUGGAAUAAUCUAGAUGGUCGAAAGUGAUUGGUUUUGACAUCCAAUCUCGGUGUUCCGCUGGGGUGGACCAUGCGACACUUGUCUUAGCGAGUGCCGUGUUGGUUUUCCGUACUAUCACAUGAAGUGAGUUUACUGUUUUGACUUCUUGUGGGAAAGUCUUCUGACUUCCGGUGCUCUGGUGGUGGGGUUCGUCAUUGUCCUCGCUUGGUGCAUCGAGCCCCUUGUGUUCGGCGUUGAGUCUGCCGGACUGUUUAAAAACCCAACAAUUUCGGUUGGUAUGGUUUGCAGGCCUUCCGGAGGUACUGUGGAUUUGACAUAUCCGAUCCAAAAUUUUGUUUAAGUUGGAUAGCUCGUCACUAUUGUCCUUAAGAGGCAGUGUUUUAUUGUUUGGCCGCGAGCUUUUGAAUCCGGCGUUGACCGCCGUGCUCUUUGGGCUUUUUUCUUUAUUUCGGCGCUGAUCUUUCCUGCGCCGUGGUUUUCCGUUUCCAUCUCUGAUCUCGGAUGUACUCGGGUCGCUGGUGCUGCAUCUUGCUAGCCAGCUGUCUUCUCCUGCGCAAAAGCGCGUCAUGAGACUUGUUAGCGCGGCCAUUGUUCUUGGCUUCUCUUGGCCGAGGUGUCUGGCGAGCCAUUCGUCUCGGACGUUGUGUUUAAAAUCUGCUAAGGCUUCCGCGUCCGGACAGUCGACUAUUUGGUUCUUUUUGGUAAGGAACCUGUUCCAGAAUUUGCGCGCUGAUUCUCCGGGCUGUUGGGUUAUAUGACUUAGAUCGUCUGCAUCCGGAGGGCGGACAUAAGUCCCUUGAAAAUUUGCUCUAAAUGCGUCCUCAAGCUCUUCCCAACUUCCAACAGUGUUUUCUGGGAGGCUUUUGAGCCAAUGCCGAGCUGGCCCUUUGAGCUUGAGGGGUAGAUAUUUUAUGGCGUGGAGAUCAUCUCCUCUAGCCAUGUGUAUGUGUAGUAUGUAAUCUUCUAUCCAGACUCCGGAGUCUGUUGUGCCGUCGUAUGCCUCUAUGCUUAUGGGUUUGAACCCUGCUGGAAAAUCAUGAUCCAGCACCUCAUCAGUGAAACAUAGUGGGUGUGCAGCGCCCCUGUAUUUGGGUGUGCCGCUGUCUUCAAACACUUGUCGUGUUGUGUUACUUCCUGGGGCCCUCUUUUUUGGCCCAUAGAUGGACCUAGUUGGGCCGUCUAUUUUCCCAGGAUCAUAAGUCGGCUUGUGUGCGGUGCCGUUUGUCGCUUUUGGCCUGUCAUCUGGCCAUCUAUCCGGCCAGGCGACCUCUUUAUUUUUUGAUUGUGAGGGCUCUAUGGCUUCCUCGUCAAAUUCUGGCAGUAGCUUGCGCUUCGGGUAGCUCUUUGUUUGAUGGCCAUUGCCAUACUUGUCUGCGGUCUUGAGUACUUUGCUCCACUUCAUUCUGAGUAUGUCUUCCGCUGUUUUGAGCUUCCGUUUUUCCUUCUUCAAACUUCUUGCAGUGGCGACGAGCCUUUUGCGAAGGUUCUUAUGCUCCGGUGGUGUGUCCGAUGUGAGGUUGUCCGGACUGUUGGUUGCUCCGGGAAGGGGCUGAUUAUCCGGUUCGUCCUGUUCGGACGGUUGCUUGGUUGCAUGUUCGUCGUCCACUGGUUUGCCCUACUCUAUUGCUGGGUCGUUAGGAAUGCUGCUUUCAUUGAGGCGGGACUUAGGGCGGCGUCUACGUCGCCGUUUUGGUUGUUUAUCGGCGAGAUUAUCCUUUGCCGCGUCCCGUUGUUCCUCGUUAUCGCUUCCUUUUGGGGUGUCCACCAUAUAUAUGUCAUGUGACGAGGUGGCCUUCUAGUGCCCUGUAGGCGCUGGUUUUUGAUCGUCUCCGCAUCGUCGUCCAUACCGCCGAUGUCUUCGGAGUCGUAGUUUAGCACGUCGGUUAGAUCGUCGACAGUGGCUACGAAGUGGGUGGUGGGUGGGUUUUGAAUUUCUUCGUUGUCCACAUCCCAUCCAUCCUGGCCAUAGUCCGGCCAGGGCUCUCCGGAUAGCGAGAGGUGCUUCAGCAAAUUUAAGAUGUCGCCGAAGGGUGAGUGCUGAAAUAUGUCCGCAGCGGUGACCUCCAUGAUCGGCACCCAAUCGAAUUCGAUUGGCAGAGGCGCAGGAGGUUUGGAGUCCGGCAGGGAGUCCGGCACCUCGGAGUCAUGAGCUUUAUGAGGAACAAGGUCAGUGUUCGGCUCCAUCGCUGUGGAAGUUGCAGCUCCUGAGGCAGUGUCCAACCACCCGUCCUCGAUCUGCGCGAUCGGCUCCGGACUAUGGGUCAGAGCGGAUUCGUGUGCGGCCUCCAAGGUACUAUCCGGCGGCAGAGUUAGGUCGUGCCCAUCGUGACAGUGCGGCACGCUCGGCUGUGGCUCGGAUCCAUCGAAGAUCAAGUCCCCGCGGAUAUGGCCGUGAAGUUUAGGCUUCCAAACCUGACCUGACGGCCAGGCGCGUAGCUUUCGAUCUGCUCCAGAUGGCCAAGUGAGUUGGCCCGCAGUGCGAAGCCGCCGAAUACGAAGAUCUGUCCGGGGAGAAAAGUCUCACCCAGGACUGCAUCGUUGUUGAUUGAAGAGGCCAUCAAGACUAUCGGUGACGACACAGAGGAACUCUCAAUGAAAGCACCAAUGUCGGUGUCAAAACCGGCAGAUCUCGGGUAGGGGGUCCCGAACUGUGCGUCUAGGCGGAUGGUAACAGGAGACAAGGGACACGAUGUUUUACCCAGGUUCGGGCCCUCUUGAUGGAGGUAAAACCCUACGUCCUGCUUGAUUGAUAUUGAUAUUGUGGAUGUUUACAAGAGUAGAUCUACCACGAGAUCAAGGAGGCUAAACCCUAGAAGCUAGCCUAUGGUAUGAUUGGGGUUGUUGUUGUGUCCUACGGACUAAAGCCAUCCAGUUUAUAUAGACACCGGAGAGGGCUAGGGUUACAUAGAGUCGGUUACAAUGGUAGGAGAUCUACAUAUCCGUAUCGCCAAGCUUGCCUUCCACGCCAAGGAAAGUCCCAUCCGGACACGGGACGAAGUCUUCAAUCUUGUAUCUUCAUAGUCUUGGAGUCCGGUCGAUGAUGAUAGUCCGGCCGAUGAUAGUUCGGCCGAUGAUGGUAGUCUGGCUAUCCGGACACCCCCUAAUCCGGGACUCCCUCACUAACCAUAGCAUGAAACAUAUAGAUCCAAAUCAGCCCCUUACGAAGCAACGCAUAAACUAGGGUUUAAGCUUCUGUCACUCUAGCAACCCAUCAUCUAUUUAUUACUUCCCAAUGCCUUCCUCUAGGCCCAAAUAAUGGUGAAGUGUUAUGUAGUCGACGUUCACAUAACACCACUAGAGGUUAGACAACAUACAUCUUAUCAAAAUAUCGAACGAAUACCAAAUUCACAUGACUACUAAUAGCAAGACAUCUCCCUUGUCCUCAGGAACAAACGUAAUUACUCACAAAGCUUAUUCAUGUUCAUAAUCAGAGGGGUAAUAUUGUGCAUAAAGGAUCUAAACAUAUGAUCUUCCACCAAAUAAACCAACUAGCAUCAACUACAAGGAGUAAUCAACACUACUAGCAACUUACUAGCACCAAUCCCAGACUUGGAGACAAGAAUUGGAUACAAGAGAUGAACUAGGGUUUGGAGAUGAGAUGGUGCUGGUGAAGAUGUUGAUGGAGAUUGCCCUCUCCCGAUGAGAGGAGCGUUGGUGAUGACGAUGGUGAUGAUUUCCCCCUCCCGGAGGGAAGUGUCCCCGGCAGAAUAGCUCUGCCGGAGCCCUAGAUUGGUUCCGCCAAGGUUCCGCCUCGUGGCUGCGGAGUCUCAUCCCGAAAGGUUCUCUGCUAUUUUUUUCUCAUCGAAAGACUUCAUAUGGGAGAAGAUGGGCGUCGGAGAGCCACCAGGGGGCCCACGAGGUAGGGGGCGCGCCCAGGCGGCGCCCCCCACCCUCGUGAGCAGGGUGUGGGCCCCUUGGCCUUCAUCUUUGGCGAUGAUUUUUCUUUAUUUAUUCUAAGGUAUUCCGUGGAGUUUCAGGACUUUUGGAGUUGCGCAGAAUAGUCCUUCAAUAUUUGCUCCUUUUCCAGUCCAGAAUUCCAGCUGUCGGCAUUCUCCCUCUUCAUGUAAACCUUGUAAAAUAAGAGAGAAUAGCCAUAAGUAUCGUGACAUAACGUGAAAUAACAGCCCAUAAUGCAAUAAAUAUCGACAUAAAAGCAUGAUGCAAAAUGGAUGUAUCAAUCAACAUGAUCUUGCGUGUGCGUAGGAAAUUUUUGAAAUUACUACAUUCCCCAACAGUGGUAUCAGAGCCAGGUUUUAUGCGUUGAUGUUAUAUGCAUGAGUAGAACACAAGUGAGUUGUGGGCGAUACAAGUCAUACUGCUUACCAGCAUGUCAUACUUUGGUUCGGCGGUAUUGUUGGAUGAAGCGGCCCAGACCGACAUUACGCGUACGCUUACACGAGACUGGUUCUACCGAUGUGCUUUGCACACAGGUGGCUAGCGGGUGUCAGUUUCUCCAACUUUAGUUGAACCGAGUGUGGCUACGCCCGGUCCUUGAGAAGGUUAAAACAACACUAACUUGACGAACUAUCGUUGUGGUUUUUAUGCGUAGGUAAGAACGGUUCUUGCUCAGCCCGUAGCAGCCACGUAAAACUUGCAACAACAAAGUAGAGGACGUCUAACUUGUUUUUGCAGGGCAUGUUGUGAUGUGAUAUGGUCAAGACGUGAUGAUAUAUUUUGUUGUAUGAGAUGAUCAUGUUUUGUAAGCAAGUUAUCGGCAACUGGCAGGAGCCAUAUGGUUGUCGCUUUAUUGUAUGCAAUGCAAUCGCCCUAUAAUUGCUUUACUUUAUCACUAAGUGGUAGCGAUAGUCGUAGAAGCAAUAGUUGGCGAGACGACAACGAUGCUAUGAUGGAGAUCAAGGUGUCGCGCCGGUGACGAUGGUGAUCAUGACAGUGCUUCGGAGAUGGAGAUCACAAGCACAAGAUGAUGAUGGCCAUAUCAUAUCACUUAUAUUGAUUGCAUGUGAUGUUUAUCUUUUAUGCAUCUUAUCUUGCUUUGAUUGACGGUAGCAUUAUAAGAUGAUCUCUCACUAAAUUUCAAGAUAAAAGUGUUCUCCCUGAGUAUGCACCAUUGCCAAAGUUCGUCGUGCCCAGACACCACGUGAUGAUCGGGUGUGAUAAGCUCUAUGUCCAUCUACAACGGGUGCAAGCCAGUUUUGCACAUGCAGAAUACUCAGGUUAAACUUGACGAGCCUAGCAUAUGCAGAUAUGGCCUCGGAACACUGAGACCGAAAGGUCGAGCAUGAAUCAUAUAGUAGAUAUGAUCAACAUAGUUAUGUUCACCAUUGAAAACUACUCCAUUUCACGUGAUGAUCGGUUAUGGUUUAGUUGAUUCGGAUCACGUGAUCACUUAGAUGAUUAGAGAGAUGUCUAUCUAAGUGGGAGUUCUUAAGUAAUAUGAUUAAUUGAUCUUAAAUUUAUCAUGAACUUAGUCCCGAUAGUAUUUUGCAAAUUAUGUUGUAGAUCAAUAGCUCGCGUUGUUGCUUUCAUAUGUUUAUUUUGAUAUGUUCCUAGAGAAAACUGUGUUGAAAGAUGUUAGUAGCAAUGAUGCGGAUUGGAUCCGUGAUCUGAGGAUUGUCCUCAUUGCUGCACAGAAGAAUUAUGUCCUUGAUGCACCGCUAGGUGAUGGACCUAUUGCAGGAGCAUAUGUAGACGUUAUGAACGUUUGGCUACCUCAAUAUGAUGACUACUUGAUAGUUAAGUGCACCAUGAUUAACGGCUUAGAAUCGGGACUUCAAAGACGUUUUGAACGUCAUGGGCCAUAUGAGAUGUUCCAGGAGUUGAAGUUAAUAUUUCAAGCAAAUACCCGAUUUGACAGAUAUGAAGUCUCCAACAAGUUCUAUAGCUAAAAGAUGGAGGAGAAUUGCUCAACUAGUGAGCAUGUGCUCAGAUUGUCUGGGUACUACAAUCGCUUGAAUCAAGUGGGAGUUAAUCUUCCAGAUAAGAUAGUGAUUGACAGAGUUCUCUAGUCACCAUCACCAAGUUAGUAGAACUUCGUGAUGAACUAUAGUAUGCAAAGGAUGACGAAAAUGAUUCCCGAGCUCUUCACGAUGUUGAAUUCAACGAAGGUAGAAAUCAAGAAAAGAGCAUCAAGUGUUGAUGAUUGACAAGACCACUAGUUUCAAGAAAAGGGCAAAGGGAAAGAAAGCGAACUUCAAGUAGAAUGGCAAGCAAGUUGUCACUCCCACGAAGAAGCUCAAAGCUGGACCAAAGCCUGAAACUGAGUGCUUACACUUCAAAGGAAAUAGUCACUGGAAGCAGAAAUGCCCUGAAUAUUUGGUGGAUAAGAAGGAUGGCAAAGUGAACAAGGGUGUAUUUGAUAUGCAGGUUAUUGAUGUGUGCCUUACUAGUGUUUAUAGUAGCCCCUAAGUAUUUGAUACUUGUUCAGUUGCUAAGAUUAGUAACUCAAAAUAGGAGUUACAUAAUAAACAGAGACUAGUUGAGGGGAAGUGACGAUGAGUGUUGGAAAUAGUUCCAAGAUUGAUAUGAUCAUCAUCACACACUCCCUAUACUUUCGGGAUUAGUGUUAAACCUAAAUAAAUGUUAUUUGGCGUUUGCGUUGAGCAUAAAUAUGAUUUGAUCAUGUUUAUUGCAAUAUGGUUAUUCAUUUAAAGUCAGAGAAUAAUUGUUGUUCUAUUUACAUGAAUAAAACCUUCAAUGGUCAUACACCCAAUGAAAAUAGUUUGUUGGAUCUCGAUCGUAGUGAUACACAUAUUCAUAAUAUUGACGCCAAAAGAUGCAAAGUUAAUAAUGAUAGUGCAACUUAUUUGUGGCACUGCCAUUUGGGUCAUAUCAGUGUAAAGCGCAUGAAGAAACUCCAUAAAAGAUGGAUUUUCGGAAUCACUUGGUUAUGAAUCAUUUGAUGCUUGCGAACCAUGCCUUUUGGGCAAGAUGACUAAAACUCCAUUCUCCAGAACAAUGGAACGAGCUACUGACUUGUUGGAAAUAAUACAUAUUGAUGUAUGCAGACCAAUGUGUAUUAAGGCUUGUGGCGGGUAUCGUUAUUUUCUCACCUUCACAGAUGAUUUGAGCAGAUAUGGGUAUAUCUACUUGAUGAAACAUAAGUCUGAAAUAGUUAAAAGGUUCAAAGAAUUUCAGAGUGAAGUGGAAAAUCAUCAUAACAAGAAAAUAAAGUUUUUGUGAUCUGAUCGUGGAGAUGAAUAUUUGAGUUACGAGUUUGACCUUCAGUUAAAAUAAUGUGGAAUAGUUUCACAAACUCAUGCCACCUGGAACACCACAGCGUAAUGGUGUGUCCGAACGUCAUAACCACACUUUAUUGGAUAUGGUGCGAUCUAUGAUGUAUCUUACUGAUUUACCACUAUCGUUUUGGGAUUAUGCAUUAGAGACAGUUGCAUUCACUUUAAAUAGGGCACCAUCAAAAUCCGUUGAGACGACACCGUAUGAACUAUAGUUUAGCAAUAAACCUAAGCUGUCGUUUCUGAAAGUUUGGAGUUGCAAUGCUUAUGUGAAAAAGUUUCAACCUGAUAAGCUUGAACCCAAAUCGGAGAAGCGCGUCUUCAUAGAAUACCCAAAGGAAACUGCUAGGUGCACCUUCUAUCACAGAUCCGAAGGCAAGAUAUUCGUUGCUAAGAUGGAUCCUUUCUAGAGAAGGAGUUUUCUCUCGAAAGAAGUGAGUGGGAGGAAAGUAGAGCUUGAUAAGGUAAUUGUACCUUCUCCCGAAUUGGAAAGUAGUUCAUCACAGAAAUUAGUUCCAGUGAUUUCUACACCAAUUAGUGAGGAAGCCAAUGAUGAUGAUCAUGAAACUUCAGAUCAAGUUACUACAGAACCUCGUAGGUCUUCCAGAGUACGGUCCGCACCAGAGUGGUAUGGUAAUCCUAUUCUGGAAGUCAUGUUACUAGACCAUGAUAAACCUACGAACUAUGAGGAAGCGAUGAUGAGCCCAGAUUCCGUGAAAUGGCUGGAGGCCAUGAAAUCUGAGAUAGGAUCCAUGUAUGAGAACAAAGUGUGGACUUUGGUGGACUUGCCCGAUGAUUGGCAAGCCAUAGAAAAUAAAUGGAUCUUCAUUAGGAAGACGGACGUUGAUAGUCGUGUUACUAUCUACAAAGUUCGACUUGUCGCAAAAAGGUUUUCGAAAAGUUCAAGGUGUUGACUACAAUGAGAUUUUCUCAACUGUAGCGAUGCUUAGGUUUGUCCGAAUCAUGUUAGCAAUUGCCACAUUUUAUGAAAUCUGGCAAAUGGAUGUCAAAACUGCAUUCCUUAAUGGUUUUCUUAAAAAAGAGUUGUAUAUGAUGCAACUAGAAGGUUUUGUCAAUCCUAAAGGUGCUAACAAAAUGUGCAAGCUCCAGCAAUCCAUCUAUGGACUGGUGCAAGCAUCUCAGAGUUGGAAUAUACGCUUUGAUAAGUUGAUCAAAGCAUAUAGUUUUAUACGGACUUGCAGUGAAGCCUGUAUUUACAAUAAAGUGAGUGGGGGCACUACAACCUUUCUGAUAAGUAUAUGUGAGUGACAUAUUGUUGAUCAGAAAUGAUGUAGAAUUUUUCUGGAAAGGAUAAAGAAGUGUUUGAAAGGAGUUCUUUAAAAGAAAGACCUCAGUAAAGCUACUUACAUAUUGAGCAUCAAGAUCUAUUGAGAUAGAUCAAGACGCUUGAUAAGAUUUUCAACGAGUACAUACCUUGAUAAUAUUUUGAAGUAGUUCAAAAUGGAACAAUGAAAGAAAGACUUCUUGCCUGUGCUGCAAAGGUGUGAAAUUGAGUAAGACUCAAAUCCCGACCACGGCAGAAAAUAGAAAGAGAAUGAAAGUCAUUCCCUAUGCUUCAGUCAUAGGUUCUAUAAAAGUAUGCCAUGCUAUGGACCAGACCUAUUGUAUACUAUACCCUGGUUUGGCAAGGGAGUACAAUAGUGAUCUAAGAGUAGAUCGCUGGACAUUGGUCAAAAUUAUCCUUAGUGGAAUAAGGAUAUGUUUCUCGAUUAUGGAGGUGACAAGAGGUUCGUCGUAAAGGGUUACGUCGAUGCAAGUUUUUGACACUGAUCCAGAUGACUCUAAGUCUCAAUCUGGAUACAUAUUGAAAGUGGGAGCAAUUAGCUAGAGUAGCUCCGUACAGAGCAUUGUAGACAUAGAAUAUUUUGCAAAAUACAUACAUCUCUGAAUGUGACAGACCCGUUGACUAAACUUCUCUCACGAGCAAAACAUGAUCACACCUUAGUACUCUUUGGGUGUUAAUCACAUAGCGAUGUGAACUAGAUUAUUGACUCUAGUAAACCCUUUGGGUGUUGGUCACAUGACGAUGUGAACUAUGGAUGUUAAUCAUAUACAGAUAUGAAUAUUGGUGUUAAAUCACAUGGCGAUGUGAACUAGAUUAUUGACUCUAGUGCAAGUGGGAGACUGAAGGAAAUAUGCCCUAGAGGCAAUAAUAAAGUUAUUAUUUAUUUCCUUAUUUCAUGAUAAAUGUUUAUUAUUCAUGCUAGAAUUGUAUUAACCGAAAACAUAAUACAGGUGUGAAUACAUAGACAAACAUAGUGUCACUAGUAUGCCUCUACUUGAUUAGCUCGUUAAUCAAAGAUGGUUAAGUUUCCUAACCAUAGACAUGAGUUGUCAUUUGAUUAACGGGAUCACAUCAUUAGGAGAAUGAUGUGAUUGACUUGACACAUUCCAUUAGCUUAGCACUUGUUCGUUUAGUAUGUUGCUAUUGCUUUCUUCAUGACUUAUACAUGUUCCUAUGACUAUGAGAUUAUGUAACUCCCGUUUACCAGAGGAACACUUUGUGUGCUACCAAACAUCACAACAUAACUGGGUGAUUAUAAAGGUGCUCUACAGGUGUCUCCAAAGGUACUUGUUGAGUUGACGUAUUUCGAGAUUAGGAUUUGUCACUCCGGUUGUCGGAGAGGUAUCUCUGGGCCCUCUCGGUAAUGCACAUCACUAUAAGCCUUGCAAGCAAUGUAGCUAAUGAGUUAGUUACAAGAUGAUGCAUUACGUACGAGUAAAGAGACUUGCCGGAAAUGAGAUUGAACUAGGUAUUUGUAAGUGCAUCUAGUGCCACCCCUAGUUGGUUUUGGAGUAUUGACGACAAAUUUGGUUGAGGGACUAAUGUGUUUGUGAGAGUUGCAGGAUAACGCAGGUAGUGUCCCUCAUUGAUUUAGUUUACCUACCAGAGAUGACCCCUAAAAAUGUAUGAAGACAUUGACGACAAUGGUGGUAUGUGAAGAUAUUCAUUUCGAAGACUAUGACAUGAGAAGACAUUGAGUGAAGACUAUGGAGCGCGAAGACUGUGUCGUUUCGUUGUUUCAUUUUCUUCUUUGUUUAGUCAUAGGAACCACCGUACUGUUAAGUGGGGUCCAAGUGAACAAAGUCAGAAUGACUGAAGUGAUGCUCAACCCAAAUCCUAUGUCUUCGAGCGAAGACAAUGAGAGCAAAUCUUAUCCAGAGCUGGAUGAGUUAGCUUUGCUUGUAGCCCAAGUAAAGUUGCCCUAUGUGUUUGAAAUCUGACCGUUGGAACACGUGUCAGUUCCUUAGUGACCCAGGGUCAUUUUGGACAUAUCAGGUCGGGUUGCCUUGUGGCUAUAAAUAGCCCACCCCCUACACCAUAAAUUGGUGGCUGCUCAGAGUUAGUACACGGCUUUUGUCGUUUGAGAGCAACCCACCUUGAAGCCUUUGAGAGAGAGAAAUCCUUGCGAGGACAAAGCCCAAACACCCAGAGCCAAAGAGUGUUAGGCAUCACUGAAGUCUUUCUGCCUGUGUGACCUGAAGACUUAUUACACUUGAGGACCGUGAAUCCUCCAGCCGGUUAGGCGUCGCGUUCUGAGCAUCCAAGAGUCAUUGUGGAUCGCCGGUGAACGAAGUCUGUGAAGGUUUGGAAGUCUACCUUGAAGACUUACCAGAGUGAUUGGGCGAGGACUGUGUGUCCUUAGCUCAAGGGGAAUAAGGUGAAUACGCGGUCUUCUGAGUUGAAUCUCAGCCUCCCUAACCAGACGUACAGUUGUCACAGCAACUGGAACUGGUCCAACAAAUCCUGUGUCUUCAACAAGUGACUGGUUCUAUCCUCUCCUUCCCUUUACUUAGUGUUUGUCUUCAUGAAGUGAUUGCCUAUUUGUCGUACCUGUUUGACUUCAUUGCUUGACUACUAUCGUUGGUUGGCUUCAUACUAUCUUCCAUCCUGAUCCUUACUACCAAGCUGCUAUUAGUCUUUGUACUUUCACAUUAUUGCAUACUUGACUAUGGUUUGCUUGUUGUAGUUUAUCUUCCGCUGCAUAUCAAUUAGGUCAUUUCUAUUGCUUGUCUUCGAAACUUCCACGUUUUGAAUACUUUCAUAAAAAUCGCCUAUUCACCCCCCCUCUAGUCGAUAACUAGCACUUUCAAUUGGUAUCAGAGCAAGGUACUCCCUUGUUCUGUGUGAUUCGGUUUAACCACCUGGAGUUUUAGCUAUGUCGACUGCAGGAUUGAGGAACGUAUCUUGCCCCACCUUUGACGGUCAUGAGUAUCCUCGGUGGAAGGCCAUGAUGAAGAAGCGACUCAUGGCUAUGGACAGCGAACUGUGGACCGUCACUGAGAUUGGUCUUACCGAUCUAUGCAAGAUGGCGGAGGCUGAUGACAUUCGCAAGUACACUCUACUGAACCUCACGGCGAAGGAUGUCAUCUGCUCCUGUCUGUCCGGAAAUCAGUUCAGGAAUGUCAUGCACCUCAAUCACGCGAAGCUAAUCUGGGACCGACUUUCUGAGGUCUAUGAAGGUCAUCGUACUCGUCAUGAUCCUUGGUUUGAGGAUUACAAGGAGUCUCUCAAAGAGAUGACCUUUGCACCUGAAUCGUCAUCAUCUUCACCAUGCCUCAUGGCAGGGGGUGCUAAGGUAACUGAAUGCUACCUUUCUGAAUCUAGUGAUGAUGAAUCAGGUGAUGAAUUUGGCCCCAGCUAUGUCAAACUUGCUUCCCUUGCCACUAAACAACAAAGAGCCUUGGAAAAGGUUCAAUACAUGCUUAGUAAGAGCGAUGAUAUGUUGGGUGAAGAAAUGGAUCAGUCAAAAGCAUUGGCUGAGAGUCUUCGGAGACUUCAUUCCAAGUUUGACGCCCUUCAAGAUCAACAUAAUAAUCUCUGGUCUGAUCACGAGAAGCUUUCUUCUGAAUGUAUUCAAAGAAAGCAAGAUCUUGAAAAGCUAAGAGUGGAUUAUGAAGAUCUUCAGAAGGAGCGCGAUUCAUUACUUGCUCAACAAAUCAGCGUUACACAGGAAGAAUUUGUUCCUCCAUGUCUGAAAUGCAUUGAACAUGAAACUACUAAUUCUUCACCUGAAUGUUCAAAUGCUUCUAAUGCUACAAAUUCUUCAUAUGUCUCCGCUGUCACUAAUUCCUCAUCUGAGGACAAUGCAAGUAUCACUGAUGAUGCAGAGCUGAAGGAAUUGUACAUGACAGGCAUGUACAAAAGCCUCAAGGGGCAUCAGACACUAUGUGAUAUCCUCAAAAAGCAGAUUCUGAACCGAAACCCUAGGAAAGAGGGUGUUGGGUUCGAGAGGAAAAUGAAUGUUGAUGGUUCCUACUGGAAGCCUGAGCAGUAUCCCAAAACCACAUGGGUUGCUGCAAAGGGACCUUCAGUGGAUCCAUCCACCUUAUCUGGCUUUACCUGUGCUAAUCCUAUUAUCAUUGAUGAAUCCCUUGAUGCAACUAUAAGUUGUUCAAGAAUCAGAAUGGUGAAGUGUUUGCCAGGUAUAUUGGUACUAACUGCAGGAAUGGACCACCUAUGAAGAAGAUCUGGGUUCCCAAAAGCUGUCUUGAGAAUCUUCCAGUGAAUUUGAUCAUGACACCACAUGGGAAGAAGACAAACCCCAGACCUAAGGCGUCAUAUGGUCCAAAGGCUUCAUACAGACAGAGGACUCACCUGAGUCACCCUAACGCCAAUGUUUUGUAGGGAAACCGUACUCAAACUUAUGAAUAUGAGCGUGUGUCUUCAAACCGCUAUGUUCAUAGAACUAAGAACUUUUCUGCUUAUUCAUAUGAGUAUCAUUCAUCUCCUGCAAGGCUAUUUGCUAGGGCUCCAAAGCCGAAGUUCUCAGAUGCUGCACUUAGACUCAUUGCUUCUAAGCCACCCCUGAAGAUGUGGGUGGUUAAUAAGAAUUAACUCUCUUUUGCAGGGAAGGGUCUCCAGCCGAAAAUCAAAGGCGUCUGAUGCUAUUGCUGGGGACCUAAAACAUCUUGUAGGGCGCAAGAUCAAAUGCCCAAAAUGGUCUCACUAUGUAUUUUGUUCCUGGAUUGUUUUCCAUUCAUCCUAUCGGUUCUAAUCUUGAUCUGAGAUUCAAUAAUCCUUUUGCCCGUCAAAUGUUUAUGCUUCACAAUACUCUUGGUGAAGCCUAUCCCCAUAUGACUGGUGAUCGAAGUCUUCUCAUGGAAUCAACCUUACGUCCAUCAGACAAGAGUCACAUCACCUUUGCUGACACUGGUAAAAGCAAGGUAUUGGGUCUAGGUAGAGUUGCAAUCUCAAAGGAUCAACACAUGGAUAAAGUGAUGCUUGUUGAAUCCCUUGGUUUCAACUUAAUGUCUGUAUCGAUGCUUUGUGACUUGAACAUGAUUGUGCUAUUCAGAAAAUAUCGUUGCCUUGUACUAAUGGAAUCUGACAAGUCUCUAGUCUUUGAAGGGUAUCAGAAAGAUGAUCUAUACAUGGUAGAUUUCUCAGCAGGUCCACAGCUUGCCGUAUGUCUUCUUGCAAAAGCUUCAGAAUGCUGGCUCUGGCAUCGGAGACUGGGGCAUGCUGGCAUGAGGAACUUACACACACUAGCCAAGAAGAAGCAUGUCAUAGGCAUCGAGGGUGUCAAGUUCAAGAAGGAUCAUUUGUGUGGUGCCUACAAAGCUGGAAAGAUGACUCGGGCAAAGCACCCCUCGAAGACAAUCAUGACGACAUCUCAACCCUUCGAGCUGUUACACAUGGACUUAUGUGGCCCUACUCACUACUCUACCCUCACAAGAACUGCUUGUCUCUAUGGCUUCGUCAUUGUUGAUGACUACUCAAGAUACACAUGGGUGCACAUAAUUCUCUACAAGACUGAAGUGCAAGAUGUCUUCAGACGCUUCGCCAAUCGAGCCAUGAACAAUUAUGGCGUCAAGAUCAAGCAUAUCAGAAGUGAAAACGGCACUGAGUUCAAGAACACCGGACUUGAUCUUUAUCUGGAUACAAUGAGAAUCACUCAUGAGUUCUCUGCUCCAUACACACCUUAGCAAAAUGGCAUCGUAGAGCGCAAGAACAGAACCCUCAUUGAGAUGGCUCGAACAAUGCUCGACGAGUACAAGACACCAAGAAAGUUCUGGCCUGAAGCUAUUGAUACAGCAUGUCACGUCAUCAACCGUGUUUACAUCCAUAAGCUUCUAAACAAAACAUCCUAUGAGCUCCUUACUGGCAAGAAGCCAAAUGUCAGCUACUUCAGAGUAUUUGGAGCUAGGUGCUGGAUCAAGGAUCCCCAUCACAAGUCAAAAUUUGCACCUAAAGCUCACAAAGGCUUCAUGCUUGGUUACGGAAAGGACUCGCACUCUUACAGAGUCUUCAACCUCUAUCUCUACAAAAUCGUCAAAACUGUAGACGUGUGAUUUGAUGAAACCAAUGGUUCACAAAGAGAGCUCCUGCCAAGUACACUAGACGAAGCUCCGCCCAGCGAAUCUAUCAAGCUGAUGGGAACUGGUGAAAUCAUGCCUUCUGAAGCACAGCCUGAAGAGGAACUUAUCAUUUCUGCACCUAACCAACCCGAAGACAAUGCUCAGACUGAAGACAAUCCUCCCAAUGAUGACAAUGAUCAGCAAGAUGAGCAACGUCUUCGUCCAGUUCAUCCUCGAGUUGCAAAUGAAGUACAAAUUGAGAAGAUAAUCGAUAGCAUCAAUGUGCCUGGUCCACUUACUCGCUCAAGAGCAACACAGUUAGCAAAUUUCUGUGGGCACUUUUCUUUUGUGUCAAUAUCAGAACCCAAGAAAGUUGCUGAAGCCUUUAUGGAACCUAAAUGGAUACAAGCUAUGCAAGAAGAACUUCAACAGUUCAAGCUGAACAAUGUUUGGGAACUAGUCAAGCGUCCUGACCCUCGCAAGCAUAACAUUAUUGGCACAAAAUGGAUAUAUCGAAACAAGCAAGAUGAGCAUGGUCAAGUCAUCAGAAAACAAAGCAUGUCUUGUGGCUCAAGGAUAUACUCAAGUUGAAGGAAUUGACUUCGAUGAAACAUUUGCUCCUGUGGCUAGGCUUGAAGCUAUUCGCAUACUGCUAGCCUAUGCUAACCACCAUAACAUCUUGCUAUAUCAAAUGGAUGUGAAGAGUGCAUUUCUUAAUGGUAAGAUUGAAGAAGAAGUGUACGUUGCUCAACCACCUGGCUUUGAAGAUCCAAAACAUCCUGAUAUGGUGUACAAGCUAAACAAAGCACUGUAUGGCCUCAAACAAGCUCCUCGCGCUUGGUAUGAUAUGAUCAAAGACUUCCUGAAGAGCAAAGGCUUCAAACCUGGAUCCCUCGAUCCCACACUCUUCACGAAGACAUAUGAUGGUGAACUGUUUGUGUGCCAAAUAUAUGUGGAUGACAUUAUCUUCGGCUGCACCAACCAGAAGUAUAGUGAUGAGUUUGGAUACAUGAUGCAAGAGCAAUAUCAGAUGUCCAUGAUGGGUGAGCUGAAGUUCUUCCUUGGUCUUCAAAUUCGUCAGCAAAGGAAUGGCAUCUUCAUAUCUCAAGAAAAAUACCUCAAAGAUUGUCUGAAGAAGUUUGGAAUGCAAGAUUGCAAAGGUUACACGACGCCAAUGCCAGCCAAACACCAUAUGGGUCCCGACGACAAUGGUAAAGAGUUCGAUCAAAAGGUAUACUGCUCCAUGAUUGGUUCCUUACUUUACCUAUGUGCAUCUAGGCCAGAUAUUAUGCUUAGUGUUUGCAUGUGUGCUCGAUUCCAAGCGGCACCAAAGGAAUCGCAUCACUUAACUGUGAAGCGAAUUCUUCGAUAUUUGGCUUACACCCCAACACUCGGAUUAUGGUAUCCAAAGGGCUCAAAAUUUGAUCUGGUUGGAUUCUCGGAUGCUGAUUAUGCUGGUGACAAGGUGGAUCGCAAGUCUACAUCAGGCACAUGUCACUUUCUGGGACGAUCACUCGUCUGUUGGUCUUCAAAGAAGUAGAACUGUGUAUCACUAUCAACUGCUGAAUCUGAAUACAUUGCUGCUGGAUCUUGCUGCGCUCAGCUUCUAUGGAUGAAGCAAACUCUCAAGGACUAUGGCAUCAAUCUGAAACAAGUAUCUCUCUUCUGCGACAAUGAAAGCGCCAUCAAGAUUGCCAACAAUCCAGUCCAGCACUCGAAGACAAAGCACAUUGAAAUUCGUCAUCACUUUCUCAGAGAUCAUGUCAUGAAGAAAGAUAUUGACAUCAUUCACGUCAACACUGAAGAGCAACUGGAAGAUAUCUUCACAAAGCCCUUGGAUGAGAAAAGGUUUUGCAAGUUACGGUGUGAGCUGAAUAUCUUGGAAUCCUCAAAUGUCAUGUGACCAGGCACACAUCCUAACACUUAUGCAUGUUGAUGACUUAGAUGUGCAACACAUGAAGUAAAGUAUAUCUUCAAGCAAUGAAGACUUACAUUCUGAGUGUGAAUACAUUAACGUGGAAUUUGACUUUGGAGCGCCACGAUAAUUGUGUGCCGUGUCUGGGUCUAAUACUUCCUAUACAGUGGGUAACGCCACCACCAAAUUUCUCGGUUUGAAGUGUUUCACUCAUGGCGUUAUUUUUGCAAUGUCUUCGCAUUUGGUUUGUCUUAAAUUUCAACUUAUCUUCAUAAUUUUCUUCACUAUGAUUUGAUUGCUUUUUGAUAUAUAUACUAGUGUUCUGUCCUCUACAGCAUUCACUUAUAGCUAUGUCUUCCUAGUUGAAUCUUUUGAACUAAGUGAAUGUGAUCGGACCCUAAUCUCUCUAUGCUUUCUAUCUCAAACACUAUCUGUCCAAAUCAUAUGCAUUCUAUUGAAACUGUCGAAUGUCUUCUCUACGUCCUUGUCAGCAGAAGACACAGAGACAAACAUUAAGUCUGUUUUAAAUGAUUCAUCCUUAUUGUUUGAAAUCCGGAGAAGCCGGAACAACCAUCUGACAAACCUUGCGGGCAUGGGAACGUGGGACAACUCUGAGUAUGUUGCAUGCUUGCCACGUGCCCCUCAGAUGUGAACCGCCAGGGGCACCUGCGUAAUUGCGCUUUGCUGCACACUUCCUUAUAAAUACAUGUCCCCUGCGGUAAAGAAAACCUUCUUCCACCUCUCCACCUCGUCAAAACCCUAGCGCCACCGCUAGCUCUCGACGACGCCGGCGACAAAGCGCUUAGCUGCCACGACUUCUCCGACGCCGUCCUCACGCCGGCCGCGGACAUCGUCCUCUCCGCCGCCACCGUAGGUGUCCUCCGUCGCCAAGUUAGGGCACGGUGGAUUGAACUACUCGGUCUCCCAUUCAUCCCAUCUAGCAGUUCUUCGUGUGGUAAAUACAACUCUAUUUUUACCAUCUUUUUUAUCCUCAAAGAUUCAUCCUAUUUACCAAAAUUGGUUUCUGCCUAUACAAUGUUAGAUCUAUUCUGUCUGCAUCUCAUACUGCCUAGUAUAUUCACUUAAGCUUCAUAUCUAGUUAGAUUCCUCACUUGUACUUAUUCACGGAUUCGUACAAAUCUGGAACCAACUCUCAACAUAUAAGUGAAUGUCUUCGCAUCAUGAGGUCAAUGUCUUCAAACUGAUUUAUCUUCAAAAUCUUCUGAGAAUGCAUAUGACCUCUUCCCCUUCCCUCGCAUCUCUAAUGCUGUCACAGGUACAUGUCCAUGGGAGAAUCCCUUGGUUCUCAUAGUCUGCAUUCGUUUGCAGAAUUCUUACAACAUCACAUUAACUCUCCCGAAGCCAGUUCCUAUUUGUCCAGCAAGCGAAAGCCCUUGAAGCCUUUGAACGUGUUGAAGCCAUUCAGUUUGAAGUUCAUGGCUGCAGAGAAAUCAGUAAGGAAGGGUGGCAGACAGCGUCGUGGGGGAACAUCAAAAGAUUUGCCUGAUGACCUCACAGAGCUUUACAAGACAGAUCCUGAAGAGAAUUAUAAUCAGCGCAAGACACGAAUCCAAUGGAUUCGACAAUAUUGGGUUGAACAAUGGUUCAAAUACAAGUUUGUGACCCAGGAAUACGCUGAGAAGAAUGCUAUCAAAAGUCCUUGGGGAGAUAUUCUCUAUCGAGGCCUUCCACCCAAGAACAGAGCUGAAGCUAUUGCACAGGGUUUCUAUCCUUGUAUGGUCCGUGGACCUCAGCCUGAAAAUGCCAACCCAUCAUCAUUACUCUGGUGUUGUGAUGAUAAUCUCUUCAAGCGCAACUUCUGGCACGCAAAGGCAUCGGCCAAGGAAAACAAGAAGUCAUUGGGAUUAGACUUCAACCCUGGUCCCUCUGCUCCCCGUGCUGACGGCUCACGUGAUGCAGAACCCAAUGUCAUCGGCCCUUUCUACAACCUUGAUGGCCUCAUCACUCACAUCUCGGUCCAAGGUGCCAAAGUGGAUCAUUCUGAUGAUGAUGCUGACACUGAUGAAGCCCCAGCUCCUACUCCAAAGCCGCAGAAGCCAAAAAAAGGCUAAGGCUUCCAGAUCAGCUGCUUCUCCAAAAGCUUCACGUGCGAAGCCACUGGCCACUGCACCUCCUGAAGACAGUGUGCAGUCUGAAGAUCUAUCACGUAUCUCCAAGAAGACGGAGAAGAAAAAGAAAAUCGUCAAGAAUACUGAUCAGACAUUGACUCCUGCCGCCAUUCUACGAGAAGAGCACAUUGAUCUGUCCAACGAUGAAGAUCUUGCAGAUGAUGCUCUUGAGCAACUGAUCAAGAGUAAGGAAGAAGCAGAGAUCUUCAAUGAUUUGCCUCUCUUUGAUGUGGCAAUCAUCCAUAACUUCAUUGAUGAGUGGUUUGACACCCCAAAUCUCAACUUUGAAGAUCUGCAACUUCCCAUUGGCCUCAGCGUCUCCUUCAAUGGUGCCAUUGCUUCUGAGCUAGCUCUUGCUCAGCGCAUCGUUGAACUGAAGCACAAGAUCGACUAUGAGAAAGCUCAGUUCAAGAAGCAUGUGGCAAAGCUCAGCGUGCAAGAUGUCAAAAACUUCAAGAUCAUGCUGCACGAGCUCAAAGAAGCCUUUCUCAAGAAGCGCGAAGAAGCUAAAGGCUCUCGUGAGCGUAUGAAGAGUCUGGCUGACAAGUGUGUGCUAGCCUACAAUGAGGCUGAGAAGCGCAAGGCUCUUGGUUGUCCUGGCAUUGACCCCAGAAUGGCUGCAAAAAGGAAGAAGCUAUCAACUGACCAAUCUGCACCUUCAAGGCAGGAAGAACGUCGCAUAGUCUUCCCAAGCAGCAUGACUGGCUCGAAGCCAAAGGUCAGGUCAACCGCUUCAGAACUAAAGAAGACGCAGACUGCCGAGGCUAAAGCCAGAAAAAGGAAAAAUUCUGAAGCCUCUGAUGUUGCUCCCUCCAAGAAGAAGCGCAAAACCAAGAAGAAUCGGGCUGCUCCCACAGAGCCCUUAGUUGUUGAACCUAUCUCAAUGGUUCGCCCUGCAUCUGAACACCAAGAACGACGAAUGAUAGUUCAUGAGCCUGCUUCCACAGAGGCUCAUGAAGCUGAGGACAUUCCAGCAGUUGAUCCCACCGCUGCUGAAGACAUUGGUCACAAUGACAGUGUUGAAGAUGAUGUAGUUCUUCCUCAGAUUGAACACAACUUGGUAUCAUCGCAUGUUCUCAAGAACAGCGAACUCAUCAGCAUUGGUCGUCCUUUGACGCCAAUUGCUCAGGAUGCAUCAUGGGCUGAUCGCCCACAACAACAAGACUCCCCGAGUACUCCCCAACAACAACAAGUCACACCACCUGUGCAAAAAGAAGAGGAUGAGGCCCAACCAACUCCAUCUCCAAAGGCGUCGCCAGAAUUAUGCAGGCUUCGCAAAGGACCAAGGCCUCAAGUCCCUCUUUCGAGUGUUCCAGAAGGAGAAGUGCACCACCAAUCUGUUGCACGUCAAGUGUUUCCAGAAGCCACUCCGACUGUGAAUGUCUCCAUGUCUGACGCCCAAGCUGCUGAAGACAAUCUGGCUGCAUCAGCCGAUGACAAACAAGAAGAAGAACGUGUCCCUACUCCCCCCAUUACUGAAGAAGCUGUUCCUGAAGUGAACGUGCCAGUGCCCGACCCUCCAGCUCAUCAAGUGGAGGUUGAAAAUCUUGAGGCUGCCACCACCAACACAAAUGAAGCCAAUGACGUAGUCAUGGCUGACGCAUAUGUGGAGCCUGCACCAACCAAUGUGCCAGAAGCCAAUGAUGCAACUGCUCCUGAAGCAUCUGUUGUGCAGCCUGAAGCCUCUGUUGUUGCCACUGCUCCUGUUCCAUCACCAAGGCCCCAUAAAAUUGAGCAAGCAUACAACCAGGGGCAGCUAAUCACUGUCAAAUGGCCCAUUCUGGUCCCUCCGCCUAAUGCCUCUGGUCCUCAGUUUGAUUAUCAUGUUGAGCAUAGGUCUCUGGUCCAGAAACCAAAGCCAAGACUGCCAAGGUUCCCAGGUACUGCCACCUCUACAGGGUCCUUCAAUGCAAAUGGCUUCAAAAGCCAUAACACCUUCUUUGACAGAGCAAAGAACCCCUACUCAAGGCCAAGUAUAUCAUCUGAUCGUUUCUGGAGCUAUCAGCAACGAAGCUAUUACUCAUGCGUUCUGUAUGAUCAAGGGCGCAUUUUCCCUCAUAUGCGCCUCGACACUGAAGCCAUUGCUGGACUGCCAUGCUUAGAAGAAGCACUUAACUGCUUUCAUGAUGCAGGUCUGCUCAGCUUUGUGACAGACAAAGAACAUUGGAAUGAGGAACUUUUGCUUCAAUUCUAUGCUACCCUCCACAUUCGCGGCUACUACAGGGAUACAAAGACAUGGGUUCUCGAGUGGAUGACAGGAAAUGUCCAUCAUGAAGCCAAAGCUCUUGAUGUCAUUGAGCUUACAGGCCUACCCACUCCCAGAGAGCUGUUCGAACCUGAUUGUCAACUCCACCACAAUGCACUAGAGAGCAUCUUCCAUAAGCCAGACCCCAACAUGAGCCAGAUGUUGAGCAUGAUGAAGCCUCUGCCACCUGACGCUGAAUACCCAAAGGAGUUCUUUGUUGAUGACCUUGAGUAUCUGCCUCGCACAAUAUAUCAUAUCAUCAGGCGAACUCUAUGGCCUAUCAAAGGGCAUUCAUCAGCUGCAAACCUUGAAGGAGCCAUGAAGACAUUGGUCUUUUACAUCCUCAAUGGCAUCAGCUUCAAUACACAAGAAUUCUUCAUCUGGCAACUGGCUGCGUCUGGAUCUGACCUUUUUGGCCUGAAAUUCUAUGCUCCAUGGGUCAUGCGCCUCAUCAAGCUACACUCUACUAUCAACUAUCAGCCCUUUGCUCGCAAUCAUCUGAUCUUUCUACCAGAGGUUGAUAUGUCAAUUGAAGCCAUAUACCCUGAGCCUGCCAAGAAGCCUCUUUGUCUUCAAAAUGCUGAUCACCAAAGCUUCACUCAGCCCAUGGAAGGAGUCCAAGCAGUAACUCGUGUCUAUCCAAUGGCUGGGAACACUCGUCUGCUUCACCGUGUGCAAACUGAAGCUACUGAGAGCACAAUUGCCCAAAGGCCAAAGAAGCGCUCUCGCAUCCUAAAUGACCGAGAACUUCUUGUGGCCCUGCAUCAGAAACAAGACAAGCAUCACCUUUGGCUCAAGCGACAGAUGCAAAGCCUCUUGGUGGACGUCAAUCGCAUUCGAAAUCUUGCCACCAAGAAUGCUUUUGUCACUCACGAGACCUGUCGGCGAUCAUGGAAGAGUUUGACGCUGCUUAGUGCUGAAGCAGAUCUUCAAGAUGAUGGCUUCACUGAAAGAUUCAAGUUUGACUCCACUCCUCCACAGAAUGCUGUCCUACGUCAAACUCCAUCCCUUGAAGACUCUGACUAUUCUUCCUCCGUGGCAACUGUGAAUGCCAAAGUGAUCGAUGAUGAAGACGAUGCUACUUCACCGCCCCCUACUUCUGCACGCAUCGACACUACACCAAGUUCGUCUGCGCCGCCAAACAACAACGACAACCCUGCUGCUUCACCUACUCCUCAUGGGAACGAGUAGAUGCUCUAUGUCUUCAAACCUUUUUGGUCAUUACUGACAAAAGGUGGAGAAGCAUAUGAGUUUGAUAGUCUUCAAGCGGGUUCAUAUGGGCGGUUGCUUUAUAUUUUGCCUAGUGUUUACAACUCUUGCUUUUGAUACAUUUGGUUCUUUGAGUUGUAACACUUAAACUCGAUAGUCGUCUGCUACUUAUUUGCUUUUCUGUGAUGUGAUGAUAAAUUCCGCAUGUGCGAUGAUAACUUCCGCACUUAGAUCAUUCUGCAGACGUCCAUUUUUCAUUAUGCAUGUCAUUCUCUAAGUUAUAUCAUUUCAUGCAUGAUGAAUUAUCUUCAUAAGUUGAAGAGGAUCUCCAUAAGUACAACCUGCCAUGUGCAUUUGCAUUCCAAAAGCAAAUUACUUAUAUGCACAUCUUCAGGGGGAGCCUUUGCCACUUAUGAAGACAAUACCCUAUCCUUUACAAUUUCACAUACUUUAUCCCCGUUGAGAACUUCAACCAGUUUGUCAUCAAUCACCAAAAAGGGGGAGAUUGUAAGUGCAUCUAGUGCCACCCCUAGUUGGUUUUGGAGUAUUGACGACAAAUUUGGUUGAGGGACUAAUGCGUUUGUGAGAAUUGCAGGAUAACGCAGGUAGUGUCCCUCAUUGAUUCAGUUUACCUACCGGAGAUGACCCUAAAAAUGUAUGAAGACAUUGACGACAAUGGUGGUAUGUGAAGAUAUUCAUUUCGAAGACUAUGACAUGAGAAGACAUUGAGUGAAGACUAUGGAGCGCGAAGACUGUGUCGUUUCGUUGUUUCCUUUUCUUCUUUGUUGAGUCAUAGGAACCACCGUACUGUUAAGUGGGGUCCAAGUGAACAAAGUCAGAAUGACUGAAGUGAUGCUCAACCCAAAUCCUAUGUCUUCGAGCGAAGACAAUGAGAGCAAAUCUUAUCCAGAGCUGGAUGAGUCAGCUUUGCUUGUAGCCCAAGUAAAGUUGCCCUGUGUGUUUGAAAUCUGACCGUUGGAACACGUGUCAGUUCCUUAGUGACCCAGGGUCAUUUUGGACAUAUCAGGUCGGGUUGCCUUGUGGCUAUAAAUAGCCCACCCCCUACACCAUAAAUUGGUGGCUGCUCAGAGUUAGUACACGGCUUUUGUCGUUUGAGAGCAACCCACCUCGAAGCCUUUGAGAGAGAGAAAUCCUUGCGAGGACAAAGCCCAAACACCCAGAGCCAAAGAGUGUUAGGCAUCACUGAAGUCUUUCUGUCUGCGUGACCUGAAGACUUAUUACACUUGAGGACUGUGAAUCCUCCAGCCGGUUAGGCGUCGCGUUCUGAGCAUCCAAGAGUCAUUGUGGAUCGCCGGUGAACGAAGUCAAGGUUCGGAAGUCUACCUUGAAGACUUACCAGAGUGAUUGGGCGAGGAUUGUGUGUCCUUAGCUCAAGGGGAAUAAGGUGAAGACGCGGUCUUCUGAGUUGAAUCUCAGCCUCCCUAACCAGAUGUACAGUUGUCACAGCAACUAGAACUGGUCCAACAAAUCCUGUGUCUUCAACAAGUGACUGGUUCUAUCCUCUCCUUCCCUUUACUUAGUGUUUGUCUUCGUGAAGUCAUUGCCUAUUUGUCGUACCUGUUUGACUUCAUUGCUUGACUACUAUCGUUGGUUGGCUUCAUACUAUCUUCCAUCCUGAUCCUUACUACCAAGCUGCUAUUAGUCUUUGUACUUUCACAUUAUUGCAUAAUUGACUAUGGUUUGCUUGUUGUAGUUUAUCUUCCGCUGCAUAUCAAUUAGGUCAUUUCUAUUGCUUGUCUUUGAAACUUCCACGUUUUGAAGACUUUCAUAAAAAUUGCCUAUUCACCCCCCCUCUAGUCGAUAACUAGCACUUUCAGUAUUGGAUACCGACGAUCGAAUCUCAGGCAAGUAACAUACCGAUGACAAAGGGAACAACGUAUGUUGUUAUGCGGUUUGACCGAUAAAGAUCUUCGUAGAAUAUGUAGGAGCCAAUAUGAGCAUCCAGGUUCCGCUAUUGGUUAUUGGCCGAAAACGAGUCUCGGUCAUGUCUACAUAGUUCUCGAACCCGUAGGGUCCGCACGCUUAAGGUUUCGUUGACAGUUUUAUUAUGAGUUUAUAAGUUUUGAUGUACCGAAAGUUGUUCGGAGUCCCGGAUAUGAUCACGGACUUGACGAGGAGUCUCGAAAUGGUCGAUACAUAAAGAUCGAUAUAUUGGACGACUAUAUUUGGACACCGAAAAGGUUCCGGGUGAGAUUGGGACAAUACCGGAGCUCCGGGAGGUUAUCGGAACCCUCCGGGAGGUAUAUGGGCCUUAUUGGGCCUUAGUGGAAAGGAGGGAGAAGGAGCAAAGGAGGGGGCGCCCCCCCAAGCCCAAUCCGAAUUGGGAGGGGGGGGGCGCCCCCCUUUCCUUCUUCCCUCCCACCUCUUCCUUCCCUCUCCCUCUCCUAAUAGGAAAGGGGGACUCCUACUCCCGGUUGGGGUUGGACUCCCCCCUAGGGCACGCCACCCUCCCUUGGUCGGCCCCCUCCUCCACUCCUUUAUAUAUGGGGGAGGGGGCACCCCAUAGACACAACAAUUGAUCUCUUGAUUGAAGGAAAUAUGCCCUAGAGGCAAUAAUAAAGUUAUUAUUUAUUUCCUCAUAUCAUGAUAAAUGUUUAUUAUUCAUGCUAGAAUUGUAUUAACCGUAAACAUGAUACAUGCGUGAAUACAUAGACAAACAUAUAGUCACUAGUAUGCCUCUACUUGACUAGCUCAUUAAUCAAAGAUGGUUAUGUUUCCUAACCAUAGACAUGUGUUGUCAUUUGAUUAGUGGGAUCACAUCAUUAGGAGAAUGAUGUGAUUGACAUGACCCAUUCCGUUAGCCUAGCACUUGAUCGUUUAGUAUAUUGCUAUUGCUUUCUUCAUGACUUAUACAUGUUCCUGUAACUAUGAGAAUUAUGCAACUCCCGUUUACCGGAGGAACACUUUGGGUACUACCAAACGUCACAACGUAACUGGGUGAUUAUAAAGGAGUACUACAGGUGUCUCCGAAGGUACAUGUUGAGUUGGCGUAUUUCGAGAUUAGAUUUUGUCACUCCGAUUGUCGGAGAGGUAUCUCUGGUCCCUCUCGGUAAUGCACAUCACUAUAAGCCUUGCAAGCAAUGUGACCAAUGAGUUGGUUACGGGAUGAUGCAUUACGUAAUGAGUAAAGAGACUUGCCGGUAACGAGAUUGAACUAGGUAUUGGAUACCGACGAUCAAAUCUCGGGCAAGUAACAUACCGAUGACAAAGGGAACAACGUAUGUUGUUAUGCGGUUUGACCGAUAAAGAUCUUCGUAGAAUAUGUAGGAACCAAUAUGGGCAUCCAGGUUCCGCUAUUGGUUAUUGACCGAGAAUAGUUCUAGGUCAUGUCUACAUAGUUCUCGAACCCGUAGGGUCCGCACGCUUAACGUUACGAUGAUAGUUUUAUUAUGAGUUUAUAAGUUUUGAUGUACCGAAGUUUGUUCGGAGUCCCGGAUGUGAUCACGGACAUGACGAGGAGUCUCGAAAUGGUCGAGACAUAAAGAUUGAUAUAUUGGACGACUAUAUUCGGACACCGGAUGUGUUCCGGGUGAUUUCGGAGAAAACCGGAGUGCCGGAGGGGUUACCGGAACCCCCCGGGAGAGUUAAUGGGCCACAUGGGCCUUGGUGGGAAGAGAGAGGGGCGGCCAGGGUGGGCCGCACGCCCCCUCUCCCUCUGGUCCGAAUUGGACUAGGAGGGGGGGCACCCCCCUCUUUCCUUCCCCCCUCUCCCCCUUCCUUCCCCUCCUAGUAGGAGUAGGAAAGGAGGAGUCCUACUCCUACUAGGAGGAGGACUCCUCCUCCUGGCGCGCCCCCCUUGGGCCGGCUGGCCUCCCCCCUUGCUCCUUUAUAUACGGGGGCAGGGGGGCACCCCACGACAACACAAGUUGAUCUACGGAUCGUUCAUUAGCCGUAUGCGGUGCCCCCCUCCACCAUAUUCCACCUCGGUCAUAUCGUCGCGGAGUUUAGGCGAAGCCCUGCGCCGGUAGAACAUCAUCAUCAUCACCAUGCCAUCGUGCUGAUGGAACUCAUCCCCGAAGCUUUGCUGGAUCGGAGCCCGGGGAUCGUCAUCGAGCUGAACGUGUGCUGAACUCGGAGGUGCCGUACGUUCGGUGCUUGGAUCGGUCGGAUCGUGAAGACGUACGACUACAUCAACCGCGUUGUCAUAACGCUUCCGCUUAUGGUCUACGAGGGUACGUGGACGACACUCUCCCCUCGCAUUGCUAUGCCAUCACCAUGGUCUUGCAUGUGCGUAGGAAAUUUUUGAAAUUACUACGUUCCCCAAUAGUGGCAUCCGAGCCUAGGUUUUAUGCGUUGAUGUUAUAUGCACGAGUAGAACACAAGUGAGUUGUGGGCGAUACAAGUCAUACUGCUUACCAGCAUGUCAUACUUUGGUUCAGCGGUAUUGUUGGAUGAAGCGGCCCGGACCGACAUUACGCGUACGCUUACGCGAGACUGGUUUUACCGCCGUGCUUUGCACACAGGUGACUAGCGGGUGUCUGUUUCUCCAACUUUAGUUGAACCGAGUGUGGCUACGCCCGGUCCUUGCGAAGGUUAAAAUAACACCGACUUGAUGAACUAUCGUUGUGGUUUUGAUGCGUAGGUAAGAACGGUUCUUGCUCAGCCCGUAGCAGCCACGUAAAACUUGCAACAACAAAGUAGAGGACGUCUAACUUGUUUUUGCAGGGCAUGUUGUGAUGUGAUAUGGUCAAGACGUGAUGAGAUAUAAGUUGUUGUAUGAGAUGAUCAUGUUUUGUUGAAGUUAUCGGCAACUGGCAGAAGCCCUAUGGUUGUCUCUUUGUUGCAUAAGAUGCAAGUGCCAAAUAAUUGCUUUACUUUAUCGCUGUGCGAUAGCAAUAGUUGCAAGAGCAAUAGUUGGCGAGACGACCAUGUGACGACACAUUGAUAUAGAUCAAGAUGAUGAAGAUCAUGGUGUCGUGCCGGUGACGAUAGAGAUCAUGACAAUACUUUGGAGAUGGAGAUCAAAGGCGCAAGAUGAUCAUGGCCAUAUCAUGUCACAUAUUUUGAUUGCAUAUGAUGUUUAUCUGUUAUACAUCUCAUUCUGUUUUGUUUGACGGUAGCAUUUUAAGAUGAUCUCUCACUAAUUAUCAAGAAGUGUUCUCCCUGAGUAUGCACCGUUGCGAAAGUUCUUCGUGCUGAGACACCACGUGAUGAUCGGGUGUGAUAGGCUCUACGUUCAAAUACAACGGGUGCAAAACAGUUGCACACGCGGAAUACUCGGGUUAAACUUGACGAGCCUAGCAUAUACAGAUAUGGCCUCGGAACACGAAGACCGAAAGGUCGAGCGUGAAUCAUAUAGUAGAUAUGAUCAACAUAGUGAUGUUCACCAUUGAAAACUACUCCAUCUCACGUGAUGAUCGGACAUGGUUUAGUUGAUUUGGAUCACGUGAUCACUUAGAUGACUAGAGAGAUGUCUGUCUAAGUGGGAGUUCUUAAGUAAUAUGAUUAAUUGAACUUAAAUUUAUCAUGAACUUAGUCCUGGUAGUAUUUUGCAAAUUAUGUUGUAGAUCAAUAGCUCGCGUCGUUGCUUUCAUAUCUUUAUUUUGAUAUGUUCCUAGAGAAAAUUGUGUUGAAAGAUGUUAGUAGCAAUGAUGCGGAUUGGAUCCGUGAUCUGAGGUUUAUCCUCAUUGCUGCACAGAAGAAUUAUGUCCUUAAUGCACCGCUAGGUGAUAGACCUAUUGCAGGAGCAGAUGCAGACGUUAUGAACGUUUGGCUAGCUCAAUAUGAUGACUACUUGAUAGUUUUGUGCACCAUGCUUUAUGGCUUAGAAUCGGGACUUCAAAACCGUUUUGAACGUCAUGGACCAUAUGAGAUGUUCCAGGAGUUGAAGUUAAUAUUUCAAGCAAAUACCCGAGUUGAGAGAUAUGAAGUCUCCAACAAGUUCUAUAGCUAAAAGAUGGAGGAGAAUCGCUCAACUAGUGAGCAUGUGCUCAGAUUGUCUGGGUACUACAAUCGCUUGAAUCAAGUGGGAGUUAAUCUUCCAGAUAAGAUAGUGAUUGACAGAAUUCUCUAGUCACCACCACCAAGUUAGUAGAACUUCGUGAUGAACUAUAAUGCAAGGGAUGACAAAAACGAUUCCCGAGCUCUUCGUGAUGCUGAAAUCGACGAAGGUAGAAAUCAAGAAAAAGCAUCAAGUGUUGAUGAUUGACAAGACCACUAGUUUCAAGAAAAAGGCAAAGGGAAAGAAAGGGAACUUCAAGCAGAAUGGCAAGUAAGUUGUCACUCCCGCGAAGAAGCCCAAAGCUGGACCAAAGCCUGAAACUGAGUGAUUAUACUGCAAAGGAGAUGGUCACUAGAAGCGGAAAUGCCUUGAAUAUUUGGUGGAUAAGAAGGAUGGCAAAGUGAACAAGGGUAUAUUUGAUAUACAUGUUAUUGAUGUGUACCUUACUAGUGUUUAUAGUAGCCCCUGAGUAUUUGAUACUUGUUCGGUUACUAAGAUUAGUAACUCGAAACAGGAGUUACAGAAUAAACAGAGACUAGUUGAGGGGAAGUGACGAUGAGUGUUGGAAAUAGUUCCAAGAUUGAUAUGAUCAUCAUCGCACACUCCCUAUACUUUCGGGAUUAAUGUUAAACCUAAAUAAAUGUUAUUUGGCGUUUGCGUUGAGCAUGAAUAUGAUUUGAUCAUGUUUAUUGCAAUACGGUUAUUCAUUUAAAGUCAGAGAAUAAUUGUUGUUCUGUUUAAAUGAAUAAAACCUUUGAUGGUCAUACACCCAAUGAAAAUAGUUUGUUGGAUCUCGAUCAUAGUGAUACACAUAUUCAUAAUAUUGAUGCCAAAAGAUGCAAAGUUGAUAAUGAUAGUGCAACUUAUUUGUGGCACUGCCGUUUGGGUCAUAUCGGUGUAAAGCGCAUGAAGAAACUCCAUAAAGAUGGAUUUUCGGAAUCACUUGGUUAUGAAUCAUUUGAUGCUUGCGAACCGUGCCUUUUGGGCAAGAUGACUAAAACUCCGUUCUCCAGAACAAUGAAACAAGCUACUGACUUAUUGGAAAUAAUACAUACCGAUGUAUGCGAUCCAAUGAGUGUUGAUGCUCGUGGCAAGUAUCGUUAUUUUCUGACCUUCACAAGAUGAUUUGAGCAGAUAUGGGUAUAUCUACUUGAUGAAACAUAAGUCUGAAAUAGUUGAAAGGUUCAAAGAAUUUCAGAGUGAAGUGGAAAAAUCAUCAUAACAAGAAAAUAAAGUUUCUGUGAUCUGAUCGCGGAGACGAAUAUUUGAGUUACGAGUUUGGUCUUCAAUUAAAACAAUGUGGAAUAGUUUCAUAGCUCACGCCACCUGGAACACCACAAUGUUAUGGUGUGUCCGAACGUCGUAAUCGUACUUUACUAGAUAUGGUGCGAUCUAUGAUGUCUCUUAUCAGUUUACCACUAUCGUUUUGGGGUUAUGCAUUAGAGACAGUUGCAUUCACUUUAAAUAGGGCACCGUCUAAAUCCGUUGAGACGACACCGUAUGAACUAUGGUUUAGCAGUAAACCUAAGCUAUCAUUUCUUAAAGCUUGGAGUUGCGAUGCUUAUAUGAAAAAGGUUUUCAACAUGAUAAGCUCGAACCCAAAUUGGAGAAGUGCGUCUUCAUAGAAUACCCAAAGGUAACUAUUGGGUACACCUUCUAUCACAGAUCCGAAGGCAAGUUAUUCGUUGCUAAGAUGGAUCCUUUCUAGAGAAGAAGUUUCUCUCGAAAGAAGUGAGUGGGAGGAAAGUAAAACUUGAUGAGGUAAUUGUACCUUCUCCCUUAUUGGAAAGUAGUGCAUCACAGAAAUCAGUUAUAGUGAUUCCUACACCAACUAGUGAGGAAGUUAAUGAUGAUGAUCAUGAAACUUCAGAUCAAGUUGCUACCAAACCUCGUAGGUCUUCCAGAGUAAGAUCCGCACCAGAGUGGUACGGUAAUCCUAUUCUGGAAGUCAUGUUACUAGAUCAUGAUGAACCUACGAACUAUGAGGAAGCGAUGAUGAGCCCAGAUUCCGCAAAAUGGCUUGAAGCCAUGAAAUCUGAGAAGGGAUCCAUGUAUGAGAACAAAGUGUGGACUUUGGUGGACUUUCCUGAUGAUCGGCAAGCCAUAGAAAAUAAAUGGAUCUUCAAGAGGAAUACGGACGUUGAUAGGAGUGUUACUAUCUACAAAGCUAGACUUGUCGAAAAAGGUUUUUGACAAAGUUCAAGAUGUUGAAUACAAUGAGAUUUUCUCACUCGUAUCGAUGCUUAAAAGUCUGUCCGAAUCAUGUUAGCAAUUGCCACAUUUUAUGAAAUUUGGCAAAUGGAUGUCAAAACUGCAUUCCUUAAUGGAUUUAUUAAAGAAGAGUUUAUACGAUACAACCAUAAGGUUUUGUCAAUCCUAAAGAUGCUAACAAAAUGUGCAAGCUCCAGCGAUCCAUCUACGGACUGGUGCAAGCAUCUCAGAAUUGGAAUAUACGCUUUGAUAAGUUGAUCAAAGCAUAUAGUUUUAAUACAGCCUUACGGUGAAGCCUGUAUUUACAAGAAAGUGAGUGGGAGCACUACAACAUUUCUGAUAAGUAUAUGUAUUGUUGAUCGGAAAUAAUGUAGAAUUAUUCUGCAAAGCAUGAAAGGAUACUUGAAUAAGAGUUUUUCAAAGCAAGACCUCGGUGAAGCUGCUUACACAUUGAGCAUCAAGAUCUAUAUAGAUAGAUCAAGACGCUUGAUAAGAUUUUUCAAUGAGUACAUACCUUGAGAAAUUUUUGAAAUAGUUCAAAAUGGAACAGUCAAAGAAGGAGUUCUUGCCUGUGUUACAAGGUGUGAAGUUGAGUAAGACUCAAGACCCGACCAUUGCAGAAAAAUAGAAAGAGAAUGAAAAGUCAUUCCCUAUGCCUCAGUCAUAGGUUCUAUAAAGUAUGCUAUGCUGUGAACCAGACCUAUUGUAUACCUUGCUAUGAGUUUGACAAAGGAAUACAAUUUUGAUCUAAUUUUUAGAUCACUGGACAUGGGUCAAGAAUAUCCUUAGUGAGGACUAAGGAGAUGUUUCUCGAUUAUGGAGGUGAUAAAAGAGCCCGUCAUAAAAGUUACAAUGAUGCAAGCUUUUACACCGAUCCAGAUGACUCUAAGUCUCAAUCUGGAUACAUAUUAAAAGUGGGAGCAAUUAGCUAGAGUAGCUCCGUGCAGAGCAUUGUAGACAUAGAAUAUUUGCAAAAUACAUACGGCUCUGAAUGUGACAGACCCGUUGACUAAGCUUCUCUCACGAGCAAAACAUGAUCACACCUUAGUACUCUUUGGGUGUUAAUCACAUAAGCGAUGUGAACUAGAUUAUUGACUCUAGUAAACCCUUUGGGUGUUGGUCACAUGACGAUGUGCACUAUGGGUGAUAAUCAUAUACAGAUAUGAAUAUUGAUGUUAAAUCACAUGGCGAUGUGAACUAGAUUAUUGACUCUAGUGCAAGUGGGAGACUGAAGGAAAUAUGCCCUAGAGGCAAUAAUAAAGUUAUUAUUUAUUUCCUCAUAUCAUGAUAAAUGUUUAUUAUUCAUGCUAGAAUUGUAUUAACCGGAAACAUGAUACAUGUGUGAAUACAUAGACAAACAUAUAGUCACUAGUAUGCCUCUACUUGACUAGCUCAUUAAUCAAAGAUGGUUAUGUUUCCUAACCAUAGACAUGUGUUGUCAUUUGACUAGUGGGAUCAAAUCAUUAGGAGAAUGAUGUGAUUGACAUGACCCAUUCCGUUAGCCUAGCACUUGAUCGUUUAGUAUAUUGCUAUUGCUUUCUUCAUGACUUAUACAUGUUCCUGUAACUAUGAGAAUUAUGCAACUCCCGUUUACCGGAGGAACACUUUGGGUACUACCAAACGUCACAACGUAACUGGGUGAUUAUAAAGGAGUACUACAGGUGUCUCCGAAGGUACAUGUUGAGUUGGCGUAUUUCGAGAUUAGAUUUUGUCACUCCGAUUGUCGGAGAGGUAUCUCUGGUCCCUCUCGGUAAUGCACAUCACUAUAAGCCUUGCAAGCAAUGUGACCAAUGAGUUGGUUACGGGAUGAUGCAUUACGUAACGAGUAAAGAGACUUGCCGGUAACGAGAUUGAACUAGGUAUUGGAUACCGACGAUCAAAUCUCGGGCAAGUAACAUACCGAUGACAAAGGGAACAACGUAUGUUGUUAUGUGGUUUGACCGAUAAAGAUCUUCGUAGAAUAUGUAGGAACCAAUAUGGGCAUCCAGGUUCCAUUGUUGGUUAUUGACCGAGAAUAGUUCUAGGUCAUGUCUACAUAGUUCUCGAACCCGUAGGGUCCGCACGCUUAACGUUACGAUGACAGUUUUAUUAUGAGUUUAUAAGUUUUGAUGUACCGAAGUUUGUUCGCAGUCCCGGAUGUGAUCACGGACAUGACGAGGAGUCUCGAAAUGGUCGAGACAUAAAGAUUGAUAUAUUGGACGACUAUAUUCGGACACCGGAAGUGUUCCGGGUGAUUUCGGAGAAAACCGGAGUGCCGGAGGGGUUACCGGAACCCCCCGGGAGAGUUAAUGGGCCACAUGGGCCUUGGUGGGAAGAGAGAGGGGCGGCCAGGGUGGGCCGCACGCCCCCUCUCCCUCUGGUCCGAAUUGGACUAGGAGGGGGGCACCCCCCUCUCCCCCUUCCUUCCGCUCCUAGUAGGAGUAGGAAAGGAGGAGUCCUACUCCUACUAGGAGGAGGACUCCUCCUCCUGGCGCGCCCCCCUUGGGCCGGCCGGCCUCCUCCCUUGCUCCUUUAUAUACGGGGGCAGGGGGGCACCCCACGACAACACAAGUUAAUCUACGGAUCAUUCCUUAGCCGUGUGCGGUGCCCCCCUCCACCAUAUUCCACCUCGGUCAUAUCGUCGCGGAGUUUAGGCGAAGCCCUGCGCCGGUAGAACAUCAUCAUCGUCACCACGCCGUCGUGCUGACGGAACUCAUCCCCGAAGCUUUGCUGGAUCGGAGCCCGGGGAUCGUCAUCGAGCUGAACGUGUGCUGAACUCGGAGGUGCCGUACGUUCGGUGCUUGGAUCGGUCGGAUCGUGAAGACGUACGACUACAUCAACCGCAUUGUCAUAACGCUUCCGCUUACGGUCUACGAGGGUACGUGGACGACACUCUCCCCUCUUGUUGCUGUGCCAUCACCAUGAUCUUGCGUGUGCGUAGGAAAUUUUUGAAAUUACUACGUUCCCCAACAUUGAUCUCUUAGCCGUGUGCGGUGCCCCCCUCCACCAUAGUCCUCCUCGAUAAUAUUGUAGCGGUGCUUAGGCGAAGCCCUGCGACGGUAGAACAUUAAGAUCGUCACCACGCCGUCGUGCUGAUGGGACUCUUCCUCGACACUCGGCUGGAUCGGAGUUCGAGGGACGUCAUCGAGCUGAACGUGUGCUAGAACUCGGAGGUGCCGUAGUUUCAGUGCUUGAUCGGUCGGGCCGUGAAGACGUACGACUACAUCAACUGCGUUGUUCUAACGCUUCCGCUUUCGGUCCACGAGGGUAUGUGGAUAACACUCUCCCCUCUCAUUGGUAUGCAUCAUCAUGAUCUUGCGUGUGCGUAGGAAAUUUUUGAAAUUACUACGUUCCCAACAAAAAUAACCCUCGACUUCAUUUUGAGAUGGUCAACCGGUUUUGACCGAGUCAAAAGCUGACUAGGUAGCCAACUCAACAACCAUGCCUGUUGAGUUGGCUACCUAGUCAGCUUUAACUGGGUCAAAACUGGUUAACCAACCCAAAACUGAGUCAAAGAUUAUCUUUUGAACUAUGUGGUAGCUUGAGGGUGCACUUCGACCGAUUUCGAAGAUGAGGGUGAUAAAUCAAACUGACUGGUUAAUUCGGGAUUGAAAUGUGGAGUUUUUUUGGAUUUGACACAGAGAUGAGAUGAGAUGUAUGCCGUCAUCUUGUUCGAGGAUGAGCCAUUCUCAGCGAACGUUUUUUUUUCUCUGGCGUGGCAACAAUCCCCUGCUUUAAGAUUCACGCUCUCAUCCAACGGUGGCUGAUGCGUUCGCUGGGAAACAUAAAAUAUCUUACGUUNNNNNNNNNNNNNNNNNNNNNNNNNNNNNNNNNNNNNNNNNNNNNNNNNNNNNNNNNNNNNNNNNNNNNNNNNNNNNNNNNNNNNNNNNNNNNNNNNNNNNNNNNNNNNNNNNNNNNNNNNNNNNNNNNNNNNNNNNNNNNNNNNNNNNNNNNNNNNNNNNNNNNNNNNNNNNNNNNNNNNNNNNNNNNNNNNNNNNNNNNNNNNNNNNNNNNNNNNNNNNNNNNNNNNNNNNNNNNNNNNNNNNNNNNNNNNNNNNNNNNNNNNNNNNNNNNNNNNNNNNNNNNNNNNNNNNNNNNNNNNNNNNNNNNNNNNNUGUUUUUUUGAGAAUCUUUUUUAGGAUAUGUGAUCUGGGCUUAGGACACGAGCCUUUCGAGCCCGCGCAAUGCGUAUGGUCUCGGCCCGUGUAGGCCUUACUCGGCACCUGACGGACUUGAUACAACCGAAGCAACAUCGGAACCGAAAGCAUCCCAACUCCCAAGCUCCGCACCACCGCACCUCGGCGAGACGGCGACCAUCUCCCUCAUGCCGUCGUCGUCGCCGGCGAUGGCGAUCCAGCCACCACCGCGGCCACCGGCUCAGGAGCUCGACCUCGACGCCUUCCUCCCGUCUUCUCCCGCCUCCUCCUCAGCCUCCGACGCCGACGCCGAUCACCGCCGCGCCGUCGACGACCUGCUGCUCCUCCUCUCCUCCUCCGACUCCGAAGGCGACGACGAGCCAACCCGUGCGCCCGCCACCAACCUCAAACCCCUAACCAGUAUCAAAGCCCCACCGCCGCCCCCUAAACCUUCUCCCCCAUCUCCUCUGCCAUCGCCUUCCGCUUCCCCCGGGAGAUCCACCUCCGCAUCGCCGUCGGCGACGCUCUCCUCCCUCGUCUCGAGAACCUUUUCGAGCAACGCUGCUUCCUCGUCCACCUCCUCGGCGAGGCCGCUCCCCUCGCUCUUCCGGGGUGUCCGCCCAAGCCCCAAGCCCGGCGCCGCCCUGGCCGCGGCGGCAGCCGCGUCCCGCGCCGUCCUCACCCCGCACGCCGCUGCAAUUAAGUCGCGGCGCACCGCCUCCGCGCCCAUCGAUAAGCUCCUCGACGAGGGCUCCGGCUCCGAAGCCUCCGAGGGGAUCCUUUCCACUGGAAAUCUCGAAGCAGAGGAAGUAGCUGAGAAGGUCAGUGAGGAAGUGGUUGCUAGGGUGACCGAGGAAGCUGUCGGUGGGAGUGGGGAUGAAGAAUUGGAAGAGGACAAGCACGGGGAAGUGGGGACUGAAGAGAAUUCCGAGCCCUCCGAAUUGGUGGACCUAGGCAAUGUCGAUUCUGUUGCUGUGGAUAAUGUCAAUGAGCAGGAGCAACUUGGGGGCGAGAAUUUGGCAGAAACAUAUCAAGCUGGGAGUCAAAUUGGGCUUGUUGAUGAAGAAAAUAGUGAUGAGCAACUUAGUGAUGGAAAUUUAGCGGAAGCUGGUGAGAUUGUGGAUCAAGAUGGGUCAGUUUCCGAGGAAAAGACUGAUGAUGGUCUGGAAGCUGAAUUUUCUGACACUGACUUGGAAGAGCUACUGGAAUCUGAGCGCAUCAUUGAUAAGGUGAUCGAAGAGAGGUUGGAGAUCAGCAGGAUGGCUGAAAAAAAUGCGGAGAAAAGGCCGAAGGUACCGAUGAAACCACUGGAGCGGGCUGAGGAGCUUGAGAAGAGACAGGCCUCAUUUGGGCAUCUCUGGGAGGAGGGAGCAGCAGCUCAACCCAUGCACCUGGAGGGGAUUGGGAAGGGGCAACCAGCUAUUGGUUACAUGCAGAUUGAGGUGGACAACCCAAUAACUCGUGCCAUGGCAUCUCCCUCUUUUAGACAGGACCAUGGCUCUCCUCAGGUCUUAGCAGUACAUAGGAGCUAUAUUGCCAUGGGCAUGUCCACUGGAUCUGUUAUCAUCGUCCCAAGCAAAUACUCCAUCCAUCAAGCUGAUGAUACAGAUGCAAAGGUUAGUCAUUGCCUCCUUGGUGCUGGUGUGCAUAUUGCUGGUUUUGGUCAAUACUAUAUGGUUUAGUGGCAUGCUUCACAUGUUGGACUUCAAGAUGUUUCAGUAUUAUGUGGUAUACACUUGAAGAUGAUUCAUUAGAUAACACUGAGUCGUAGACACUACUUGGGGUCACAACUUUGCAAGAGUUGUAUGCAUCACUUGGUGUUACAUUUUGCUGGACUUCACACCUUCCUUGACUUGAAGAGAAAUUUGGGAGGAAAAAAGAUGUGGUCAUACCAAUUUUACUGGGAUGACCAUACAUUGUAUUUGUGCACCAUCAUUCGGAAAUAAGUCUUGUGAUCAGGGUUGCACUUACAUCUUGUAUAAAUAAAUCAAUCCAGAUUCAGUGCGUUGCAAAUAAUGAUAUUGAACUUGACAUGCAAACAUCUGGUGUUCCCAUUACUGCCCUAGUAUACCAGACUUGAAUACAAACAUGGCAUUUAGGUAGAAUUUCAAAAGCAUACAGAAUCUUAGAUUUGGAGCAGAAACAAGAGGUACAAUAAGGUCCCCACAAGGAAUCUGCUCAAGUGGCUCUACUAACAUGACUGAAAUUCCAGUUGCUGCUAUGCUAUGCAUCAGUGACAGUAACACAUUGGAAUAAAUCUACACAGUGGAGCUUGUUAUUUUCGGUAAUCCAUCUGGUUGUUUAAUAGGGGAUAAAGAAGAAAACACUACAUGCAGCACAGAAUAUAAAAAACUCAUCUAUUGCUGUACAUUGGUAUUGUCAGCAGGAGUUAUGCAUCACCCUGCCAGAUCUGCGUGUUUUAUGGUGUUGCCAGAAGUUGACCAUGUGGGGUUUAUGUACACACUAAAUUUUUUGUGAGGCCUAUUCCCUGUUCUCAUACUUAUGUCCAAAGUUCACUAAGGCAACGCUGUGGAAAAUAGGCCAAACAGUAACACAUCCUUCAUAGUGGGGCCCACUUAUAGUCUUUAGCAGUUGAUGGCAACAAUAGAAGACAAGGGUUACCUUGAUAUUUUUAUUAGAUGGCUCCAUACUCAAAUAUUCAUACAUUUAAAGGAACUAUUCCUGUGUGCCAGAAUCUAAUCAUGCCAACUUUGAUUGAUUUGCCAUAAUUUCUAUUUAAAAAGGUGAUUGAUUGUAUGGCAUUGAUUGCCAUGCCAUACAUAAAUGGUAGAAAUAAUUAGAUGCAUCCAGUUGUUUCAGAAGAUUAUGAUACAUCUCUAUGUUCUUUUACGAACAAGGAACCGGAAGAAACUGUUUUUGGCUUUUUAUGUUUAGCUCGCCCAAAUCAUCAAGGCACUUUUAACUUCUUGUUCCACAGUUCACCAAUUAAUCUCUGCACAAUUGGCUCGCUGAAAAUUAAUAUUUUUCCAAGAUGGUACAUGAACUUGAAAAGUAAUCUCCCGGAUUGGGGUGUACUGCACAUUUCAUGUGUUUGUCAGUCAUAUAAUAAUUCAGUGGCUGCACAUAUAGCUAUUAAUCUUAUAAGCCAGUAGCCAUUUGCUAUUCAAAAAUCUUGUUGGAUGAACUCUUGGAAAAUAAUAAAACCGCAAUACUGGUUAUGAUUUGAAUGAGGACAGUUGUUGUAGAUUAGUGGUUCUGAUGUCCUGGGAAUUAUAUGUCACUUUGAUUUUUCGGUCUGUAAAGAUUGCUUUUAUUAUUUCAGAUGCUGUUCUUUUGGAAUCAAGGUGAGAAAACCCAAUCACCAGUGACUGCCAUGUGCUUUAACCCGCAAGGGGAUCUUCUGCUAGUAGGAUAUGGUGAUGGUCAUAUGACAAUUUGGGAUGUACAGAAAGCUACUGCAGCAAAAGUCAUAUAUGGUGAGCAUACAGGAGCUGUAGUGCAUGUUUGUUUUAUCCGCCAAUCUAAAGCCAUCACUGGUGAUUCAAAAGGGCUUGUUCUUCUGCACACCUUCUCUAUUAUCCCCGUCAUUAAUCGCUUGACUGUUAAGGGAACUCAGGUAUGAAGAAACAUCAUUCUUUCCAUUGUAUACAUAUUAAUCCACUUGAUCCCCUUUUAAAUAUAUUACUGCUCUGACAAAACAUAGCUACACUUUGCCAGCGCCUUUUUGAUGGAAACACUGGAAUCGUGCUCUCAGCCUGUCCUCUUCUAGCGGAUGAAUCCUUUGGUUCUGGAAACUCAUCUAUGCAGGGCAACCUACCAACUUCCUCCAGUGGUGGUCUUGGGAGCAUGAUGGGAGGUGUAGUUGGAGUAGAUUCUGGAUGGAAGUUUUUCAAUGAAGGUUCUUCUCCAUUGGAGGAUGGUGUUACAGUCAUGUUCAUUAUGCAUCAACAUGCUCUUGUGGUACGGAUGAUAUAUUUAAUAAUGGAAACAUUUUGUAAUUUUUUCACUAUCUGUUAUCUUGUGAACUCACAAUUACCAUGACUCUUGUACUGAUUUAUGAUGUUAUGUGUUUCUCCUGUUAGGUUAGACUCCGUACCAACAUUGACCACGUUGACCAUAUUGAGAACUUCUCUAGACCAGAUGGAGCACGCGAAGGGUCAAUUGCUUAUGCUGCAUGGAAAUACACAUCGUCCUCCACUGAUUCAUCGCCAAUUGGUAAGAUUAGACCUCCUUAGACAUUGACAAUGAUUGGUAGUUCCUUAUAUUGGUAAAUUUUAGUUUCUUGGACUAAAAAUGACAACACUAUAGAUGAAGAGCGAGUAUCUUGGCUUGCGCUUGCAUGGGACCGUCAAGUACAAGUUGCAAAACUUGUUAAAUCGAAGAUGAUCAGACAUAAGGACUGGAAGCUUGAUAGUGCCGCUGUUGGCGUUGCCUGGUUAAAUGAUCAGGCAUGCAAAAGUCUCCCCUUUUGGUUAUUCAUUUAGUCUAUGUCUUUUUCCCAGUUGUAAAAUCAAAUUACUUUUUUUCUUCCCAUUCAGAUGUUAGCUGUCCUUAACUUGAAAGGGCAGCUCUGUUUGUUCUCAAAAGAUGGCAGUGAGCUUCGCAGGACUAUCUUUAUUCUUGAUGGUUUUGUCUUCGAUGACAGCAUACUGUACCAUACACAUUUUUCUAACAGGUUUGGCAACCCUGAGAGACAUUUUAACAACUCAGUAGCAGUGAGAGGUGCUACAGUAUAUAUUCUUGGCCCAAGCUUUCUUACAGUUUCGCGACUUCUUCCAUGGAAAGAGCGGAUUGAAGCACUAAAGAUGGCUGGUGAUUGGAUGGGUGCACUGGACAUGGCAAUGAAGCUUUAUGACGGUCACACACAGGGUGUUGUUGAUCUUCCGAGAACAGUUGAUUCUAUAAGGGGAGCCAUAAUGCCGUAUUUAGUAGAGUUGCUGCUGUCAUAUAUAGGUUAUGUCUUCGAAUAUAUUUCAAUUGCAUUGUCAAAUCAUACUGGAAAGGGGGGAGCAACAGAUGGCCUGAUAGAUGCCGAUAGAUCCCUGCUGACACAGAGAGAAGAACAAUAUGCUCGUGUAGGAGGGGUUGCAGUCGAGUUUUGUGUUCACAUUGGUCGGAAUGACAUCCUGUUUGAUACAGUCUUCUCUAAGUUUGUUGCUGCCCAAAGUGGAGGUAGGCUUGUUCUAAUUAACUCAUAAGAACUAGCAACCUUCUUAUUUUGCUUAACUCUGAUGUUUAUUCUGUUCAUGCCUGAAGUUGACGCAAUCCUCUCUUCCAUGUUUUAAUGCAUCUUUCUUUAGAUCAUUUGUUGAUACAUCCUGUGGUCCUCCUAAUUUUUUUCUCUACAAGAACGCAAAGGAAGAUACUUUCCUGCUUCUGUUCUGAGUUGCAGGCAUUCUGUAAAUCUCUUUUGAUGGAUGCUUUAAUGAGCUCUAUUUGCGUGGCCAGGCAUUUUUUCUUUCUUUUAUUGCUUUGACUCCAUUUAAUUUGGAAUUAUUUUACUUGCACUUUUGAAGAUUCCAGUCUUUAAAGGAAUAUUCUAGAGGAUUUUAUAUUAAUUUUCAUGUGGUAUACUAUAAGAAAUGCUUUGCGUAUGUCAAUUAUCUGUUUGCUGAUAAGAUUGUGCACGCACAUGUUUCUGCUAUUAAAUUACUGCUAUAACUUGAAAAGGCUGACAUGGCAUACAUAACAGGUAUAUUUCUGGAGGUACUAGAGCCAUAUAUAUUGAAAGAUAUGCUGGGUUCUUUACCCCCUGAGGUGAGUGCCACUGAGGAUUUUCUAGUGUUAGCACAUGAAUUUGCAAAUGAUUAUACAUUUAUGCCAAUUUGAUUUGUAGAUCAUGCAAGCUCUAGUAGAGCAUUAUAGUGGCAAAGGAUGGUUGCAGCGAGUCGAACAAUGCAUUCUUCAUAUGGAUAUUUCAUCACUGGAUUUUAAUCAGGUAUACAUAAAAGUUGCAUUCAAGUACUGUAAGAGGUCCAUUUGUAGAGCUUUAUCGGACAUGUUUCAUUGUUUACAUUCAUUGACCAAGAAAAACCCUUUUCAGUAUCUUCUGGUACCGCUUUUGUAGUUUGGACAGAUGUGUUGCACAAUUAUGCAUCCGCAUGAUAUUGUUCUACUUGUUCUGUUUGCAGGUAGUCAGACUCUGUCGUGAGCAUGGGUUAUAUGGUGCUCUAAUUUAUUUAUUUAACCAAGGGUUGAAUGAUUUCCGUACACCUCUAGAGGAACUUCUAUCUGUCAUCCAGAAUGCUACUCGAAAAGAUGCUACUUCUACUUGGUAUGCCGUACUCUUGCCAGUAAGAGUUGUAUUAAACUCGCUCAUAAUCAAUCACAUUGCUCGUAUAGAUGAGAUAAUAGUACACAUUAUGUUCAAGUUAUUGAUAUGUGAUUUGAGCAUACUUGUGUUAUUCUGAAGUUCCUGAUUGAAUAUCUGUUCUGGUAAAUUGAUUAAUCAGAAUUUGAUAAUUUUCUUAGCAUUAGUUACUUGGUUAUCAUUGCAAUUUACAUGAAUCUUCAUUUGAAAUGCAUCUCUAUGUUUCCCCUGAGAUUUCUCUAUGACAUGCAUGAGUGUGAACAAAAAUGUUGAUACUAAGCAAAAAACAUCCCAUGCUUUCAAAGGGCUUGGUUAGACUUGCUUGAUUUUGUUUGAUACUGCUAGCGGCCUAGUUUUGUAUAUGCAAUUGGUGUUUCUUUUAGAAUAUAAUACUAGUGCUAUGUGGAAGGCCAGUAUCUUACCAUAUUUUCACUUUAACAGCUACAGAAUGCUUGUUUAUCUGAAGUAUUGCUUCCAGGGCCUAGCAUUUCCUCCAGGUUAGUAAUGUAAGCCAUUCACGGCAUGAUUUUUACUAUUUCAUAAAUUCUAUGCUAGUUUAAUGUGACCUUAGACUGUUUUUCCUGUGCUGUUGGGCUUUUGGUGGGCCUUGAAUCUGGUAGAUUGAAAGUGUGUUAGUAAAACUAUGUGCGUCAAUUUUGAUAUUCUAAAAUUGGAAAGUUUAGAUUUGCUAUGAGGUGCGGGUGUUGUGUUAUCUUCACGGGAACAUCUGCAUACUUCCAACAGGAUUAUGUUCUGAACUAGGAAUACACAUGAACAUGCUAAUGCUAUAUAGGAUCCUCUUAUAAGACAAUUCAACUCCAUGAUAUGUUAUCACAUGAUCUAUUUUUGCAGGGCAUGGAACAAUUCCCCGAGCCCAGCUUCAUGCAGUGAGAAAAGAACUUCUGCAAUUCAUGCUCGAGGACUCUAAAAUGCUCACUUCUGAAGUAUUUAAGGGUUUUAGUUCUUCUUCUGGAAAAUGCCCAAACAUAUGCUAUCUACUAUGGAUGGAUACGGAAGCUACUUUGGAAGUUGUCAAGUGUGCUUUUGCACAAGAGAAUUUUGAACCUACUUCUAGUAUUCUUGAUGCAUCUGUAUCUAAGGAUGAAGAAGAUACUGAUAUUGAAAGCCCAGAUAGUCAAAAUAUUUUGUUACAAACUGUAGUUGACACCAUCAUUCAUAUUGUUGGUUUAGAAAAUGAGGCGAUCCAUUCCGUUGUUGUGGGUACUGCUGAGUCAGAAGAACUUUGGCCUUCAGUGAGUGACUUCAGUCAUAUCAUUGAAUUUGUAUCCUUUUUUGUUUCCCAUAAAAGGGCAAAUGCAUCUCAAAGAGUUCUCAAGCACAUUCUUAAAUACCUCACGUCAUCCACUACAUCAUACGAUGAUAAAAAGAUGCCACCUCAGAAAGAAGUUCUUCAGCUCUUCAACGUGGUUCCUCAAACUGACUGGAAUUCUGAUUAUGUGUUGAAUCUUUGUUUAGAUGCCCAUUUUCAUCAGGUUUGUCACUACUACCUUUGGAAAGUUCACCUGUAUAAUAUAGCCCUGCUGCUCAAAAAUAUCUUUCAGCCUAUGACUGUAAAUAUAUUGUUACUAUACAGGCCUGUGGCAUGAUAUAUACAGCCAGAAAUCAAAAUUUGGCUGCUUUAGAUAGUUACAUGAAGGAUACAAUGGAACCAUACCAUGCAUUUAUCUUCAUCAACAAAAAGUUACUUCAAUUGGCAAGUGAUGAAGCUUUGUCGUUUCGUUCCAUAGUAAUAUCUCAUUUUGCUGAGCUAGUCAAUCUAAGCAGGUGAGCUUGUUAAUUAAUGUUUUAACUAGUAAUAUUCUUCCCCUUUAAAUUUUCACUUGCUGGCUUGUCUUUCUACCGAAUGUGCUCAAUUUCUCUCCUAUCCUUUCAUUUUCUUAGGGAGUGUGCAUUUGUGUUGGUCAUUGAUCAUUUUCAUGAUGAGAUCCAGCAAAUAUUGGCAGAGCUUCAUUCUGAUCACCGCAGCCUCUUUCUUUUCUUGAAAACUGCAAUCGAAGUACACUUGUCAGGAAAACUUGACUUCAGUGAACUUACUGCCAGAAACUAUGAAAUUGUUGAAAGUCUGUACUCUGGCGAACUCGAAGAUUAUCUUCAGAGAUUAUCAAAUCUCCCAAAGUUGUUUGACCGCAAUCCUAUUUCUAUGACUGAUAAGUUAGUUGAACUCUAUCUGGAGGUACGUUUUUUGACAGAUUUUUAACAUCAGUAUAUUUGAAAUAGAGCUUUUUAACCAUAAUGAAAUACCUUUGGUUGGAGCCUUAUGCCAUCAGUGUAGACUUUAGUAGAGCCUUUCACCUCUAUAUUGUCACAAAAGUUGUACUGGGAGAACAAUCUAUCGGCAACUGGUAGUGCAGUGAUUUGCCAUAACCGUUAUAUUGAAUCAUUGAGCAGUAUGUGCUUUGCAAAUACAACACAGACAAAGUUGCUUAAUGUUAACCAUUAUAAAUGUUCCAAAAGGCGAUGUUAAACAUUGCCUACUCACUAGCCGGAGCCUGGUUAUGGUUCACCUCUAGGCAGUGGUCUUAGGCGACCUUCGAGGGGCCAGUGUGGAAUCAGCACUAUUUUGAACCUUGACCAUUAUACUGCACAAAAUGUUCUAAUCUGAACAAACUAUCAGCAGUUGGUUGAACACUAAGUCAAUAUCAUGACAUGAAACCAAGAAGCAAAAAUUUCCUUGCAACUAAGAUACUACGGAGUCUGAUGGUAUCAUUGUAUCCUUGUAGUUGUAUUUGGCUGACCUUGGGCGCAGUUUUGUACCUCAGGUCUAGAGUUGAUUGUUUGGUUACAAUGAUUGAGUCCUGGUGAGACAUCAUGGUUGGAAAAACCAGAGGAUUCCUUGAGAACAUAUUUGUGGGCAGUAUUGCACUCUAGUUUUUUUGGAGCUUUAGACUCCAAUAUUAUAUUUGAAACUGUUGUUGUCAAAUCAAUAUGUCAAUUGCUGUUUCUUCAUUUUGUUACGGUGAAUGGUACAAAUUUUGCCACUUUUCUGAAGAGGUGCAAAGUUGACCUUACUGAUGCAAUUUGUUAGGUUGAAGUUUUUUUAGUGGCAGCACAUGCUUUGCGAGAUCAUCAUCCUUUUUUUGUUAAUCAAAUACGCCUUCUUGCACAGCUUCUGUGUCAGUAUGAACCAAGGUCAGUUCUGAAGUUUCUGGAGACUUUCGAUAGCUACAGAUUGGAGAGGUGUUUGCUCCUUUGUCUAGAUUAUGGAGUUACAGAUGCUGCUGCAUUUCUGCAAGAGAGAGUUGGUGAUGUUGCGAGCGCGUUGGAACUUGUUCUAGCUGGACUAGAUGAGAAAGUUAACCAGUUUAUCGCUUCGGUGGAAAAUGCGUUCUCUCGGACAUCGUCAAAGAGUAUCUCUGAAAUUGAGCAACCAGACAUUGUUCUAAACAUGAGCGAGGUUCUUUUUCUUGUGCCUAUUGAAAUACUAACCAUAUUUGUUUCCUCUGUUGUAUAGUUGGUAACAUAUUUGAUACUCAUUUAGGCUCAUCCAGUGCUUGAUGUGUUACGUUCCUCCAUUGGAUUGUGCCAAAGGAAUUCACAGCGUUUAGAUCCAGAGGAGUCUCAGUUACUUUGGUUUCAACUGGUUGACUCGUAAGUUGUGCCAAUAUAUAGUUAUAUACAUAAAUACUUUCUUUCAAAAACAUUUCUCACUGCAAUAUAUUGGCAUUUUGUCCUAUUAUUUGGAUCUAUAACUAGAAAUUUGAUAGUCGUUGCUGGUUUUUGUUAGUAGUGAUAUGUUAUUUGGCAGAUGUGAAUCAUGUGAUAUGGUUCUCUUUUCACUAGUAAUUUAGCAUGUGCACUGUCCAAAUAUCCACCUUAAGGCAUCAUCUCUAUUGGUCAUUGGCCUGGGGCACUGCCACAGGAGCUGCGCAUGGACAAGUGAGAGUAUAACAUAGGAUCAAUUAAAUCUCACUUAAUGCUGAUUAACUUUCCACUCUCUUGUAACUGAUGCAAUUUUGAGGUAAUUUGCAGGGGUAGAAUUUAAUUUGUGAGUCUGAUCUCAUGGAUGCUUAAAAACAUUUGGAUCACACCCUACUUGUACCUUGUAUAGUUGUACAGAUUGCUAGGAAUAUGAUCCUAAAAUGUACUGACUGCUGAUCUUCUGCCAUUCUCGAAACUAAUACUGUUCUCAAGCAAGGCUUAUUAUUAAAUACUGAUAGAUAUCUGUCAAGCAGUGUAAAGUAUUGUUGCACUUUUGUUUUGUUGAGGGGCCAUCAUAUCAGAAUAUCCCUCUAUCGUUCUGGUAGAUACAAUUUCUGCUAAUGCCAUUAUGUUGUUGGUGCAGUUUCUCAGAUCCACUGAAAAAGUUGUAUGGAAGCAAAGUUGUAAAUGGAAAAGGUUGUUGGUCCGUGGGUGGUGAAACAACAAAUGGACAUCAAACAGGCAAAGGAUUCUCACAAAAAAUGGUGAAUUCAGCUUAUCAAAGGUGUUUGAAUACUCUGCGGAGAGUUUUCUCACAAUUUGUUGGAGAGAUAAUUGAGGCAAUGGCUGGGUAUAUACCCCUGCCAGCAAUUAUGGCAAAGCUAUUAUCUGACAAUGGAAGUCAAGAGUUUGGUGAUUUUAAACUUGUCAUACAUAGAAUGCUGUCUAUGUAUCUCUACGAAAAAAGAAUACUGGUACACACAUACUGAUUUUCCUUCCUUUGCCUUUUACUUAGUAAGUAUAACAUGCAUGGCGUUUGAUGCUUUGCAAAACACCAAUCACUGGGCAAUAGGCCAUUAUCUUUGACAUAACAAAUUACAUAUUCCAUUGCAAUAGAGCAGAGUUGUUACAUUAUGUCAAGUUGAUUUGUAUCCCUUGUCCUGAAGCUUCAGUGCUUAAAGUGAUUGAAAAUAACCCAAGGCUUUUAAUAUUACAUUUUUUAGCUAAAUUCAUGAACCAAGUGCCGUAAAGCGCUUAUACACUUUAUGGAUCAAUUAACAUAUUCCUACUGAUCUAACUAGUGUCGAGACAAUGAUAUCUUGAACUAAUUUUUUAAUUUGUUCGAUUAAAUGUUGUUUCUUCAGUAUUUUCUUGCAAUAUUUCCUAUUCUAUAUGGAAGACCAGUUAAGUUAACUAUGGUGAAACGAGUUCAUCACCUUCUUUGGUUAUUUUCUUCUGUAUUUUAUCCAGUAGUAAAAAUUAUAGCGCCUCUGAUACCUUGCGCACCUGCUUGCAGGAAACAGCUAAGUCAGUUAUCGAGGAUGAUUCGUUCUAUACCUUGAGCUUAUUAAAGAGAGGGGUUUGUCAUGGAUUUGCUCCACAGACUUUUGUCUGUUGUGUAUGCAACUGCUCACUUUCUAAAGAAGGUGCUAUUUCAGCAGUUCGAGUAUUCAGUUGUGGACAUGCAACACAUCUUCACUGUGAGUCUGAACAAAGCAAAUCAUCCAAUAAGGAUUUUAAAGAUGGAUGUCCAGUUUGUCUCUCAAUGAGUGACACACAAGCCCGAAACAAAUCACCUAUAAUAGCUGAGAAUGGGCUACCCAAGUAUCCCGUGGUUGAACAUGAAGUACCAUAUGGCGUCCAUCAUAAUCACGAGACAGAUCAUGUUGAGAGAUCUCGUGCGCUUCACCAGAUGUCACGGGUAGGAAUAUCUUAAGAUAUUUCUUUUCUGCUAGUAUAAUAAAUUUCUCAUCCUUAGUGGCGCGCUACAUCGGCGCCCGGAUGUAGUGGAAAAUGAGCAAGGGUCUUCGCAUUUGACUCGACGAGUGCGAAGGGUAAGGAAGCUAGCCGAGCCUAGGAGGAUUCGCUUAGGUAGCUGGAACGUAGGGUUUCUGACAGGGAAGCUUCGGGAGCUAGUUGAUGCAGCGGUGAGGAGAGGUGUUAAUAUCCUUUGCGUCCAAGAAACCAAAUGGAGAGGACAGAAGGCGAAGGAGGUGGAGGAUACCGGCUUCAAGCUAUGGUACACGGGGACGGCUGCAAACAGAAAUGGCGUAGGCAUCUUGAUCAACAAGAGCCUCAAGUAUGGAGUGGUAGACGUCAAGAGACGUGGGGACCGGAUUAUCCUGGUCAAGCUGGUAGUUGAGGACUUGGUUCUCAAUGUUAUCAGCGCGUAUGCCCCGCAAGUAGGCCACAAUGAGAACACCAAGAGGGAGUUCUGGGAAGGCCUGGAAGACAUGGUUAGGAGUGUACCGAUUGGUGAGAAGCUCUUCAUAGGAGACCUCAAUGGCCACGUGGGUACAUCUAACACAGGUUUUGAAGGGGCGCAUGGGGGCUUUGGCUAUGGCAUCAGGAAUCAAGAAGGAGAAGAUGUCUUAAGCUUUGCUCUAGCCUACAACAUGAUUGUAGCCAACACCCUCUUUAGAAAGAGAGAAUCACAUCUGGUGACUUUUAGUAGUGGCCAACACUCUAGCCAGAUUGAUUUCAUCCUCUCGAGAAGGGAACACAGGCGUGCAUGCCUAGACUGUAAGGUGAUACCUGGAGAGAGUGUUGUACCCCAGCAUAAGCUGGUGGUUGCUGACUUCCGCUUUCGGAUUCGUGUCCAGCGGGAUAAGCGGGCUAAAGUCGCUAGAACGAAGUGGUGGAAGCUCAAGGGGGAGGUAGCUCAGGCAUUCAAGGAGAGGGUCAUUAAGGAGGGCCCUUGGGAGGAAGGAGGGGACGCGGACAAUGUGUGGAUGAAGAUGGCGACUUGCAUUCGUAAGGUGGCCUCAGAGGAGUUUGGAGUGUCCAGGGGAAGGAGAAGCGAAGAUAAGGAUACCUGGUGGUGGAAUGAUGAUGUCCAGAAGGCGAUUAAAGAGAAGAAAGAUUGCUUUAGACGCCUAUACCUGGAUAGGAGUGCACACAACAUAGAGAAGUACAAGAUGGCGAAGAAGGCCGCAAAGCGAGCUGUUGGUGAAGCAAGGGGUCGGGCGUAUGAGGACCUCUACCAACGGUUAGGCACGAAGGAAGGCGAAAGGGACAUCUAUAAGAUGGCCAAGAUCCGAGAGAGGAAGACGAGGGAUAUUGGCCAAGUCAAAUGCAUCAAGGACGGAGCAGGCCAACUCUUGGUGAAGGACGAGGAGAUUAAGCAUAGAUGGCGGGAGUACUUCGACAAGCUGUUCAAUGGGGAGAAUGAAAGCUCUACCAUUGAACUGGACGACUCUUUUGAUGAGACCAACAUGCGUUUUGUGCGUCGAAUCCAGGAGUCUGAGGUCAAGGAGGCUUUAAAAAGGAUGAAGGGAGGCAAGGCGAUGGGCCCGGAUUGUAUCCCCAUUGAGGUGUGGAAAGGUCUCGGGGACAUAGCGAUAGUAUGGCUAACCAGGCUUUUCAAUCUCAUUUUUCGGGCAAACAAGAUGCCAGAAGAAUGGAGACGGAGUAUAUUAGUACCAAUCUUCAAGAACAAGGGGGAUGUUCAGAGUUGUACUAAUUACCGUGGAAUUAAGCUGAUGAGCCAUACAAUGAAGCUAUGGGAGAGAGUCAUUGAGCACCGCUUAAGAAGAAUGACAAGCGUGACCAAAAACCAGUUUGGUUUCAUGCCUGGGAGGUCGACCAUGGAAGCCAUUUUCUUGGUACGACAGCUUAUGGAGAGAUAUAGGGAGCAAAAGAAGGACUUGCAUAUGGUGUUCAUUGACUUGGAGAAGGCCUAUGAUAAGAUACCGCGGAAUGUCAUGUGGUGGGCCUUGGAGAAACACAAAGUCCCAGCAAAGUACAUUACCCUCAUCAAGGACAUGUACGAUAAUGUUGUGACAAGUGUUCGAACAAGUGAUGUCGACACUGAUGACUUCCCGAUUAAGAUAGGACUGCAUCUUGGGUCAGCUUUGAGCCCUUAUCUUUUUGCAUUGGUGAUGGAUGAGGUCACAAGGGAUAUACAAGGAGAUAUCCCAUGGUGUAUGCUCUUUGCGGAUGAUGUGGUGCUAGUUGACGAUAGUCGGGCGGGGGUAAAUAGGAAGUUAGAGUUAUGGAGACAAACCUUGGAAUCGAAAGGGUUUAGGCUUAGUAGGACUAAAACCGAGUACAUGAUGUGCGGUUUCAGUACUACUAGGUGUGAGGAGGAGGAGGUUAGCCUUGAUGGUCAGGUGGUACCUCGGAAGGACACCUUUCGGUAUUUGGGGUCAAUGCUGCAGGAGGAUGGGGGUAUUGAUGAAGAUGUGAACCAUCGGAUCAAAGCCGGAUGGAUGAAGUGGCGCCAAGCUUCUGGCAUUCUCUGUGACAAGAGAGUGCCACAAAAGCUAAAAGGCAAGUUCUACACGCAAUGUUGUAUGGCGCUGAGUGUUGGCCGACUAAAAGGCGACAUGUUCAACAGUUAGGUGUGGCGGAGAUGCGUAUGUUGAGAUGGAUGUGUGGCCACACGAGGAAGGAUCGAGUCCGGAAUGAUGAUAUACGAGAUAGAGUUGGGGUAGCACCAAUUGAAGAGAAGCUUGUCCAACAUCGUCUGAGAUGGUUUGGGCAUAUCCAGCGCAGGCCUCCAGAAGCUCCAGUGCAUAGCGGAUGGCUAAAGCGUGCGGAGAAUGUCAAGAGAGGGCGGGGUAGACCGAAUUUGACAUGGGAGGAGUCCGUUAAGAGAGACCUGAAGGAUUGGGGUAUCACCGAAGAGCUAGCUAUGGACAGGGGUGCAUGGAAGCUUGCUAUCCAUGUGCCAGAGCCAUGAUUAUAAAUAUAUACAAAAUUUGUUGGUUGCAAGAUCUUAUGGGUUUCACCUCUAGCCUACCCCAACUUGCUUGGGACUAAAGGCUUUGUUGUUGUUGUUGUAUUACCAGGCGCUUUCCAAAAACUUGACUUGUGAUAUUUGGAAGCCCUGGUCCAGUUAUAACUUGUGAUAUCUCUCUUGUAAUGAAUAUAAUAUUACAUCCUGUUUUGGUUAUCUGUGUUAGAUAUUAUAUCAGCUGUGUACUUGGUUAUGCUUUGGUCAGUGAUAUAGAAUUUAGUGUCCACUCUAAUACUUUAAAUUUAGUUAAUAAAAAAAUCUAAGUUAAUUCUAGUUUUUCAAUGGUGAUAAAAUGGAUCUGGCUCUAUACUCUGUACUUCUAUAGUACUAGCUAAAGUUUUUGCCACGAUAUUUCCUUUUGCAGUUUGAAAUACUGAACAAUCUCCAGAAAGGUCAGAAGUCUUUUCAUAUUGAGACUGUACCCCCGUUGAAACUUUCUCCGCCAGCCAUAUAUCAUGAAAAGAUACAAAAGAGAGUAAGUUUGGUGGGAGAAUCCAGCAGACAUUCAGUUAGAAGUGAAAAACCACAGAAAAUAUGGCACAUGAAGGAGCCAAAAUCAAAGAAAUCAGGGAAUUGGCUUCCACCAAAGUCAAGCAUAUUCAGUAAGUCUCUGAUUCUCUCGGUUGACUGAAUAAACAUGAUCAUCACAGUAUUGAUCUUAUCUUGGACUCUUAUUUGUCUAUUUACCUUUUAAAAUAUUCUGCAGGUUCUGACAAGAAUCAAGUGCGGUAGACUACUGAUUGUACGGUAUGUAGCUCGGUGAUAUUUAUGUGCUGGUAAUUUUGUUGAGAGUGUUUGUAUGCUUCUGUCAUCUGUGAGAUCAUCAUUGAUAUUUUUUCUAAAUGUCGAGACUUAAUAAGAUCCCCUCACUAAGCAGAUUCAGGCUUAUUUUUUUUUCUUGGAGAAAAUGAUUUAGACUCAAUUGACACUGGUGCCUUUGAGGCACCAUAUCAAUCAUCUGCUCAACAAAAAAAAAACACAUCUGGUCCCACAAGCACAUCACAAU